UUAUGAUGCAAUCACCUGAAAUUUUCCUCACUAUUCAGUGCCCAGAAUAUUAGUACUUUUGCAUAGUGGUCUAGAAUUAAACAUAUUCCAUAGGAAAACAUUGUGUAUCAUCAAGAUACUUAGGAGUAUAGUUAGGUAAUUGUAGAUUCUGGACUUAAUGGCCUUAUAUUGGAGGUGAAGGAUCCUGCUGGGUUUGGGGUCCUUCAUGUUCAUUCUGCUGAGUGGGUCCCUGGACCUCUGCCCCCAAAUCAUGCCCUUGCAGAACCAGGAAAUAAUAGUUAUGAGAACAAAGUGAGGGAAAUAAUUUCUUUUCAUUUGGAUAACAAAUGCAAAACCUGGCAGAAAUCAUUGCAGAAAAGUUUGUGAUUCAAUUUGGAGAACUGAGGAAGUUUUCGAAAUGUCACUUCAUAAGCAACCUUAUUUUUUUUAAUCCCAUAUGCUUCUCCUCCAUCCGCCAGCUACAGUAAUCAUUAUUGUCCUUCCUAGACUCUCAGACAGAAGCAGAGAAAAGAAAGUAUGUCUUUGCAUCUAGAAAGCUUAUUACUGAUUGAAAUAUCAUCUUUGGUAAGUCUGUUUUAUAGUCACUAAUUGAUAUUGUCGGCACAAAUGGAGGCGUCUUGUCAGGAAACCCGGCUUGUUUUCACAUCCAGUAUACUUAAAAUUGGCUCGUUCUUAGCUUCUCUCAUAGAAAACCUCCUAUUUUGAUUUAUGAAUGUUUUCAAUUUUUUAAGAUUCUCAGAAAUGUUGGUUCACCUGUAUGUAGAGAGAUAGCUUGUUUGGCUAACUGCCUUGAGUGACUGAGUGCCAGGUAAUGAAUAAUGCCACGUUCAAUAUUCUAAAUUUGUGUUCCAAAUUCUGAAUUCGGAAUGAGCCACAUGGAAGUACACUGAUAAGUGACUGAUUUUUACUCCCAGGAUUGUCUUAUUUUCAACUUUAAAAUUUACUUGCUUUACUUCACUGAAAGCGUUUUUGAAUGGGGGUAGGAAUUUAAAGUGAUACUCCACAAUAAAAUUUGUCUUUCUUUCCAAACUUCAGAAGUAACACUGAUGAAUUAAAGACAGGUAAAUUAGUAAAAUUCAUUUUUACAGACUGAAAAGUCCAGAUUCAUGCAGAGCUAUACACAUUAAGAAAAUAAUGUUAAACUUGAUAUGAUGGACAUUACCCAAAUAUUAAAAAAUGCCUCAUGAGGGCAGUCCUUCUUUGAAAAUAAACAUAGGUUGUUAUUUGACAGCAUUAAAAAACAUCAACCCUACAUUAUUCUUCAUAGACAAUCAGAGAAGUGGUCUUUAAAAUCAAUUAUGUGCAAAUAUUUGAGACACUUAAAUUUAAUAUUCAAAAUCUUCAGGUAUAGAAAAAACUUGCUUUCUCUCCUCCCUAUGUGCUAGAACAUAUCCUACAUCAGUUGAUUUCUUGGAUGUGUGUGCUAACCAGACAACAUUUUGUUGAAAGGUAUCAGUAUAAUAAAACUGAUUUUGAAUAAACAAGUAACAUCAGAGAUUGUAGAGGAGAAACACAACAGUUAACCUGGGCAAUUAAAAACACAAAGCCCUAAUCAUUUCCCAAGGUCAUCACUGACUGAACAAAUCUGUGACUGAAAGAAUAUUUCAAACAUGUUGUGACUUUGAAAAUUACAGGUUUUAUAAAUUAAUGAUAAGUUACUAAGGUGUUCUGAAAAUUGUUGCUUAUAAUCUGCUGAAGUAUUUUGUGCAUCUAUAUUAAUUAAUAACUCACAUCACUCAGGUUAGGGGCCUGGUAAGACAGAUCCAGCUGAAUAGUGAAAAGAUUUUCAAUAAACCAUUAAAAUACCUCCUAUAGCUUUAUAUAUAUGUAUAUAUAUAGAGAGAGAGAGAGAGAGAGAGAGAGAGAGAGAGAGAUAUCAGCAGCACAUUUGUUGGAUUAACGGAAAGAGGCACAAAGUAAACUAAACAACCACUCAAAGGAGCAUUGAAGCUUCUAGGUUAACGGAUGCCACACUUUACCUCAGUAUAUGCAUUUUUGCUCACAUUACCAGAGUGGAGAACUGUGUUGAAAAAUUAGGAGCAGUUGUCAAUUUUAAAGCAUGGCUCAUAUUGUUUUGCAAAGUGCAAAUUAGGUAGGUUCAACUUCAGAUGUGAACUGAAUCAAAUUUCUCACACAUUCCUAACUAGUACACCCCAAGACUGAAUGAUAUCGAUGCAUAAAAAUAUUGCCAUGCAUGUAGACAAGUAAGUGUCGGAAAGAAGGCUAGGACCCUUGUCUCUGAUAUCUAGUUUUCUUUGGGAUAUUUUUCUUCUAUGGUGGAAGCAUUCGCCAUGUGAGGCCCCAUGCUCUUCAGCCUACAGUGGUAGAACCCAGGCACAACUUCUGUGAAAGCUGGGUUUCUUUUUAGAUCCAGGAAGUUCUCUUUUCUGCCUGCUUACCACAUCUUCAAUUUAAAACACUCUUAUACCACUUUAACAAUCAUGGGUUCCUACAAAGAAUCCUGAGAACUAUAGUUUGUUAAAGGGUGCUGACCUCACAGACCCACAAUUCUAAGCAUCCUUAACAAACUACAGUUCCCACUAUAAUCCAUGACAGUUGAAGUGGUAUAAGAGUACUUUAAAUGUAUGGUGUGGAUGUGACCUCUGGCCACAUCUCCCAGCAAGCAGAGUUCCAAGUUCUGUUGAUUCUUGGCUAUAUAUGAUAUCUAAGAAUACCACACAGCUUUUAUAAUAUGGAUGGCAAACCUGUGUCCUUGUCAUGUGGUUGGAUGCUAGCUCCCAUCAGCCCUACCCAAAAUGGCCAGUGGCCAGGGGUGAUGGAAAUAAUAGUAUCUGGAGGGAACAGUUCUGGAUUCCUUCUCUACGAGCUAUGAGUUUGAAGCAGCAUAUAUUUCAGGCUCACUUUAAAAAAUCGUGGAGCAUCGGGAAAUAGCUUUAAAUGUUUAUGGAUACUGUGCCAUAUGGGGACUACCUCUUCAUGAGCUGAGACAGGCUGGAAUCAUACACUCUCCAUUUCUUCUUCAAUCCGUUUUACCAAUCUCAAAACUGAUUCUGAUAAACAGCAUCUGUUUACGCUCAAGAUGGCAGAAGAAAAAACUUAUGCUCUUUAUUUUAUUUGAAGAUUGUGCAUAAAUUGUGUUUUUAUUGCAGCUUAAGUAGGGUAUAUGAGGUUUCCAUUACUUUAGCAAUUAUGCUAAGCUGAUGAAAGCAAUGUAAAUAAUCCAACAACUGUUUAUGCAUUGUGUUAGUGUUAUAUGAACACUGCACUAACUCAGUGAAUUUAGAAUUUUACAAAGGUUAUUUCUUUCCUUUCUCUUUUUUUAAAAAUAGGGCAUAGUAAUCCCACUGUAUCAGUGGCUCUAUCCCCCUUUUUGAGUAGAGUUCUGCUAUCCCACAAAUUGGAUGGAAAUCUCAUUAGUGGAGCUAUAAUGAGCUGGCAACGAAGCCCCUUCAAGCUUGCGUGCUUACGGCCAUUUGCCUGUUUGUCUUACUCUUCAUCAUGAAUCUGAAAUUGCCCAUUAGGAUUGCAAUGAAGGGCGAGUCUGAAGCUGCGAUACUGACUGUGUCGCCAAACAGGCUAAAAUCAAACAAACCCAAAGGGAAGCUGCAAGGAUUUUGUGCUUUUGUGUCCUCGGGUCAGGCAGCAUCACAAUAUAUAUGAAAAGGAACAGAGAUAUGAUGAAGAAAAGGAGGGAUGGCAUCAAAAAAGGACUUCUGAGUGUAGAGUUGUGGUAUUUUGUUAUGUCUUUAUUCCGGAGCGAGUGAAGCUCACUUUGAAAGCAAUCUUAACAACAACCUGAUGCAGUUUAUUUUAACUGCAAGUGUAAUAUAGUGGCUAAGAGAAUGAGUACUAAUCCAGGAAUUUACCAGUUCAAAUUGUAGCAGCCAUAAAUUCAGUGUGUAACCUUAUGUGGUUCACUAUUAUUGCAGCCUUCUCAUCUGCAGUAUGGGAAUAGUGGUCCAUCAUGCACUGUUCUUGGACACAUUGCAUGAGUCAGGAAGUACACAUUUCCUGGCAAACAUGGGUCCUUACACUUUUGUGCCUUGAGUAUUGUGAACGGGGGGACAGGGAAGAAUUUCUGCGGAACAAUGGACAAUAGAGAGAUACAGGUGGUGACCAUUUUGCAUGCAUCCAAUUGACACACAACUGCCAACAUGCGCCUGGCUUUCGGCUCCAGAAGGGGGUGGAAUGGGGUGGCAGCAGAACGGGCUUAUGCACGACCACUGGUGUGCACAAGACCUAUAACACAACCCCUGUGCAAACAGGAAGUUGCCUGUACCAGUACUUCUGCCUAUUGCUUUCCCACUGCAAUUCCCCCCUUCAGCUGCUUUGUAAAAUUAAAAGAAGUGCAAAAUCUGAAAAAUAGCUAUGUUCUGAUGUGUGCUUUUGUCAAGGAGAUGCAAAUUACCGGUAGGUUGGUUAACUUAAAAAUGUGGAUCAAAGAUAACACUACCACCACCAUACUAAUACCAUAAUUACUAUCAUCAACAACUGUACCAUAUAUAAUGUGAUACAAUGCAGUAUAUAUAUUUAUUUAUUAUAACAAUAUCCUGCCUUUCUUCCACCAUGGAACUCAAGAAAGUGUACUUGCAGUUCCCUAACAAUCUCCUAUCAGGGCACUGACCAGUCUCAGACCUGCUAAGCUUCAGCAAUAUGGCUGCAUCCUGCGCCUUCAGUCCAUGCCCUAGGUAGAGAAUAUAUGAGGAAUAGCCUAGGUUUUAUAGCAGCACGCCCCCCCCCAAAAAAACACCCAUGCCCAGUUCAUCUGUUAAUUGCAAUAGUAUGGGAUUCACUUCCACAUGGUAAAUGGAGCAGACAUGCUGAGAUGGAGAAAUGAUAUUCCACCUCCCAAAUAAUUUAGGACAAGACCCAGGGAAGUGGCUCCCAUGUUGUAUUGGACUGUCAUGGAAGACUAUUGUUAUUUCGAGGAGAUUUAGGUGGUAUCCAGCAAUGCUCCUUUUGCAUCUAGAAAUCAUGUGGGCCUCUGGCCUUUAAAUGGUUAAUUCUGUUUCAAGCCUGCUAUUCACAGCUAGAUAUAUAGGCUUUGAUGGCACUGUGUGGGAUUCUUUAGCUCUGAUAUGCUGGCACCUGCAAAAGGGUGUGUCAGCUAGUCUUAGAAGUUGUCCAUGUUGACUGCCCGCCAAGUAGCCUUUCAUUUUGGUGAAGUAGCCUUUCAUUUUGAUGAGAAACUGAUGUGUUCCCACCCAAUGCCAGAUGCGGCUUACAUAAUUCCAACAAUAUAUAAGCCCUGAGAACACCUCUGUUGGUAGAAACUCUAUGCAAAUCUUUCUGGAGAGUGUUGCAUACUAGCCAGCUUCAGGAGUCAUGUCUAUUGAGAGAGCCAGUGUGGUGUAGUGGUUAAGAGCAGUGGACUCGUAAUCUGGUGAACUGGGUUCGAUUCCCCGCUCCUCCACAUGCAGCUGCAGGGUGACCUUGGGCUAGUCACACUUCUCUGAAGUCUCUCAGCCCCACUCACCUCACAGAGUGUUGUGCGGGAGGAAGGGAAAAGGAGAUUAUUAGCCGCUUUGAGACUCCUUAGGGUAGUGAUAAAGCGGGAUAUCAAAUCCAAACUCUUCUCUUCUUCUUAUUGCUGAUGGGAAUCCCAGCAGCCAGAAGGGCGUAAGAUAAUUUCAGUGCUUCAUAGUUUUCUUUGGGCUGUUUAAUAAAAUCUUUAGUGUUCACCCCAUUUGUGUCUUCGUUAUGCUCCAAAUCCAAAAAGAACCUCUGCUCUUCAGCAGAAAACAUGUUUCUACUGUGAUGCAUGGACUAAACCCAAGAUUAAAGCUGCCAAUAUGUAUGACAAUGCUUUGUAUAUCUCUCUUGUGGCAGCACCAACUUUACCUUCUGAGGUAAGGCAGGCAGUGACAGUGAUAUUUCAGUGCCUGCUAAAAUUGUAUUUGUUCUCUGAGGUCUUUUCUGGCUAUGGAGUGCUUUGUCCCAGCUUGUUGUUUUCUGUUGAAGUUAUUUCUUUCUCUCUGAGUCGUGGAUAUGGCUGAAUUUAUUGUUUUAAUUGGAUUUUUAAUGAUAAUGUAUUUUAAUGAUUUUUAUUAAUUGUGCACUGCCUUGGAACAUUCUGUGCAAGGCAGCAUAAAACAUUUUAAGUAAAUAAACUGUGUACAGGAUUGCAGUUUUAUUUAACAUACAUGAUACUGGAAAAGAGAAGGAAAGCAGAGGAACCAAAGAAAGAAUGAAUGAAAGGGGGUGAGUGGGAAUAGCAUUCUCAAAGCAAGAACUUAUUCUUGGCCUGUGGAAAAUGCAUCUUAUCUUUGGAGGUGGUGCCAGAACAGUAUUCUGAAUAAGACUGACAUUCUGCAAAAAAAGGGGGGGGGCUGGAAUCCACCUAGCUUCACUGUUCAUUGCAGAAUUUACAAAGAAGUAAAUCUACAACUUAGUUCUUUUCAUUUAUUGUCACCUGCACAGUAGUGAAAAAUAUCCUCAUCUUUUACCCACUUACCAACUACAUUUUUCCUUCCAGAAAAACUUCUGUGACAAGACUGUCCCACAAAAAUUAUGUUCUCAUUGAUAUGCUUUUGCAUCCAGCGUUAAGCUAAAUAAAUAUCCUUUCAGGGAUUUUCAAGCAAAAAACAAGAACUUCGACAAGUGCCCUGCUUCUGACACAGGCUUUGUAUUGGAACAUUUUACCACCCUCAAACACAUUUGAAUUGACUUGGCAUAGAAUUAUGCUCCAUAAAGCUAUAUAUUUCAGUUUCAUACUACCCAAUGUCAAUUUUCUACUACCUUGGAAGUCACAUAGUCCAAUUUUUAAUUUUCUUGGAAGAGGGCUAAUAUAUAUACUUUUUAAAAAAAUGAAAAUCAGAUAUCCAUUAGAAUAUUUCCUGCAAAUUGCAAAAGUGGCCAAAACACAGGCAGCACGCCUGGAAGGGAUGGAUGCAGAAAUAAAAGUAAAGAUAGAUUUCAUUCUCUAGAGAGAUGAAAAAGAAGCACCAUAGAAAGAAAGAAAUGUCCAGCUUUAUAAGGUGCAGACUAUUUUAAAUUUGAAGCUAGUUAAACCUACUGCUUCUUUAAAAAGCAAGUUGAUGAAAUAGAGUCCUUAAUAAAUAAUACAGCAAAAACAUCCUGGCAUUUUCAAAGGGAAAAAAGUGUAAAAUUUUGUAAAAAUGGAAAACUAAUGAUGUUUUCAAUAAAUCUUGUUUAGAAAAGGUUAUUUUUGUUUACGCUUAAGUUACCAAAACAAGUUUCUAAGGUGCAGGAAAUAGCUAAAGAAAAAAGAAGAAAAUAUGAACAAGAAAUAAUGCUGAGUAAAAAGAUUUUUCAUAUUUAAUGUUGAUUCUACUGUAAAAUAACAAUAAUAAAUAUUUAAAAUAGAUAAUGAAUAACAAUUACAGUUUUUAAAAAGUAUGUGAUGUUAUGAAGUAGGAAAUUGUUCUAAUACUGAUUUUAUUUAAUCAUAGAAUUAAGUAAGCAGUGCUUUUUAAAACCGAAAGGAAUGUGUUUCAAAAUAAAAAAGGGUGGGUUUUAAUAAGUAAAAGAUGAGUUUCCUAAAAUCACUGUGAUAUUAUUUUACAGGUUUCCACUUGUUACACCUUAAUCAUGAGCCAAAGAUUGCCACACUCUAAUGUAAACAGAUGAGAGUGCAUCCAGACUAUCAUUAUUUUGUGGUAGGAUGGAAACUUUGAAAGCUUGCAAAAUUAAGUCGAUUAAAGUGUUCUGUUAGCACACAAAUAAAUAAAAAACCACAAGAAUUUUGUAGUUAGAAAGUGAUGGGGAAAUACACCAAAAUGUGGGGGAUAAAUGGUUGAUUAAGCACCAUGAAUGCUUAUUGUCAUAUAACCACACCAUAAACAAAUUAGAACAAAUGGUCAUUAAAGUUUGGACAUGAUAUCCUAACCACUGCAUAAGCUUGGUGCAAGAAAGUCAGAAUGAAUGCUCAGUGAACAUGAUGUUUACACCUAAGUUUCCUGACCACUGGAUUCAGGGAUGCUCUAAUGGGGAAGAGGCAAACAUCUGUUUCUAAGCUUGUGCCAUUCAUAUGAGAUGAAUGUUUGUGUACUGAAUAGUUCAGUCUCAUCCUAGCAUUCCAGCCAUCUGCACAUGUUGAUUGAUACUUCCCAUGCACGGGUAAUAGAGAGGUGUCUCAUCCAACCACAUCAUGAAUGGUGGUGUGUGUUUGUCUCUCUCUCUCUCUCUCUCUCUCUCUCUCUCACACACACACACACACACACACACACACGUUGCCAAAUAAGCAGUUAAUGUGGCUCUUGCUGUGCUUUUAUCCCUGCUACUGGGAAUGCAUAGUAGGAUCACAACCACUACUAUCAUUAGCUCUGAUGAAGAGGCUGCUGCCAUAAAACCAGGCUAGCCAUUUGAAGCAGUCCAAUGAAUCAGUGUUACCUAUAUUCUGGAUAUUUCUUUCUGUGAUUCUUAAAAUGUUACACUUUGCUAUGAAGCUAGGGAAAAGAAGAAAUGUUUCAAAGUUAGAAGAGGAAAUUUGAGAAUGUUGCAAGUGAUGUGGAUUCUGAUUUGGGCAGUUGUUGAUGCCUAAAACAAUCCAGAUUCACUCAAUGAAUGUGCAAUGGGACAUUUGUUUCAUGCUAACUCAGUUUAAACCUCUUCCAUUCUCUCUCAUAGUGAAUGAACACAAAUUAUUUAUUAUUUUAUUUAUCCAUCACAUUUGAAUCCCUCCAAAGUGUUUUAUGAAAUGGUGAUUGCAAACAAAUAACCAAUGUUGCAGACAAGUUGAACUAUGACAUUGUAGAUAAAGGGGUAAUAUUUACUGCUUCUCCCCCACCUUCCUCUGCCUUGUUACUUUAACACAUUACAUGUUAUAAUGUAAUCUAUGAGAUAGAAACAAUACUAGGAGUCCUAAUUAAAUUAAAAGUAAUUACCACUCGUACAGAUACGGCAUUCAAUUGAGCAGCUGCAAGUUGAUAUUUUGUCAUGCCCAGUUUAUCUAUAUGCAUGUGCCUGAUUCUUUGUAUCAGUUAUUAAUGGUGUUUACGGAGUGGCCAAGAACGAUGGAGGGGAAAUGGGAAUAAGAAAACAAGGGGACUUAUUUUUUAAAAAGAAAAGAAAAAGGAGAGGAUUAGAAGAGUGUUAGAGAUGAUUAAUACUGCUUUUCUGUUAGGAUUUUGACAUGGUAUUUAGAAGUGAUCUCUUGAUUUUCGAAUGAGCUGAUACAUUAUUUGUGUCUUUGGGAGUUAAUAACUCCACAUAACUGAUUUACACCACAAAUCAAUGCAUGUCUACUCAGAAGUAAGUCUCACUGAAUUCAGUGGGGCUUACAACUAUGUAAGUACAAUCCUAUAUGUAUUGUCUCACACCACCCAAAUCUCCGAGCGGUGCAAGAUACCGGGGGUUCCAGGCAGUUACCCAGGGUUCAGUUUCCUCAGAAUGAGGAACAGCGGAGACUGUGGUGUCUUUGUGAUCUAUGGUUUAUUUACACAUUUAUACAAACUGAGCCUAUAACGGAAGGGCUCACAGCAUUAACACCCCAAUAAGGUAUUCCUUCUCCCAUAGCCACAGCCUUGGAUUCAAGCAGAAAUCAAGCAUGUCUCUCCUUCACAGGCUUCAACCUGCCGCCCCUUUUAGCUUCUAGCUCAGGCAUAGGCAAAAUCGGCCCUCCAGAUGUUUUGGGACCGCAACUCCCAUCAUCCCUAGCUAACAGGACCAGUGGUCAGGGAUGAUGCGAGUUGUAGUCCCAAAACAUCUGGAGGGCUGAGUUUGCCUAUGCCUGUUCUAGCUCAUACACCUCAACUCCACUCUGGCUUAUGUCUGAACUGCAGAUGACGCAUGCAGAAAUGCUACCCAUAGAAGUGAAUGGCAUUGUGGAUACAGUUGUCACCACUGUGGUACAAUGAACAGUACGUAUUUCUACAAAUCACAGCAAUUAUUUCUAACUUUGCAUCUGUACAUAAAAUUAUCAUGUGCAAAUUUUAUGCACAUCCAUGUCCAGUUUUGUGGGGAUGGGCUUCUUCUUUUGGGGCAGUGUGUAAUUGGUCACCAUAGCAAUGCACUACUCCAAAGCAGACCAGUGGCACUGAGGUACUACUUUUAAUGUGUCAAUGAAUCACUUCUCCAUUAACAGCAAUGAUGAAGAGGGGAGCUGUAGAUCAAAUCCUGACCAGAUUCUCCACUACUUGUCUAUAUGGGUGGCUGAGAUUCCUCAUUGGCACUUUGACUUCUUACAUUUGAAUAAGCUGAAUUCCAGCCUGAUAGCUCAGUUGGUAGAGCAUGAAACUCUGGCCAUGGGUUCAAGAACCAACAUUGGGCAAAAAAUUCCUGAAUUGCAGGGGCUUGGACUAGAUGACCCUCACAGUCCCUUCCAGCUCCACAACUCUAUUAUUCCAUGGAGACAUGUCUUUUUUUAAACAUGCUUUUCAAGAAAAUAGGUAAAAUUUCAUAUAUUAAAAUGUUAAUAAAGGUAAAGGGUAAAGGGACCCCUGACCAUUAGAUCCAGUUGUGGCCGACUCUGGGAUUGUGGUGCUCAUUUCGCUUUAUUGGCCGAGGGAGCCGGUGUACAGUUUCCGGGUCAUGUGGCUAGCAUGACUAAGCCGCUUCUGGCGAACCAGAGCAGUGCAUGGAAAUGCCAUUUACCUUCCCGCCGGAGCGGUACCUAUUUAUCUACUUGCACUUUGACGUGCUUUCGAACUGCUAGGUUGGCAGGAGCAGGGACUGAGCAACGGGAGCUCAUCCCGUUCCAGAGAUUUGAACCGCCGACCUUCUGAUCGGCAAGUCCUAGGCUCUGUGGUUUAACCCACAGUGCCAUCUGCGUCAAAAGGUUAAUAGUGAUGUCAAAAUAAUCAGUGUUUUUACGGCAAAUUGUUAAUUUGCAUCCGUUUUAAGGUAUUCUAUUCUGCCAGAGCAUUCAAAAAACCCUACAAAUGAAAAUGAGACCCCAACAUUUAUGAGCAACAAACAAGAUUUUCAAUUUUGAGUUGAAAAAUAUCUGACCUCCACAUGGAACCUUAUAUAAGAUGAAAUAGGCAAUUGUAACACAAAAAUGCUGUACAGGAUUGCUAACUUUCUGUUUUUACUCUGGAUAGGUCAUAAAAAUUGGACAGUCUCCAACCAAAAUAGUUCACAGCUGUUGUGGGGGGCGGAAGCAUGUUGUCCGUUUGACUGACUGUUAUCUUGCCGGGAUGAGGCUGCUAUAAAUAUGAGCAAUUAUACCAUAAGCAGUCAAAUUAAAUUUUCAUAACUAGGAAACCACAUUUUACCUUCAGGCACAGCCUGAUGUCUUUUGCUUCAUUCACGAGUCCUUAAUCCUAUGCAUUAAAUCUAAACAAAUCAAUGUUUACCAACAUUAAUAUUUUAAGAUUCUGUGCUUGCUCUAGCUGUCGACAUCUUCUGCUUUUAUAUGGAACACUUUCUGCCAUUCAACUUCAAUAUGGCAUACUCAGGUGCUGCUUCUCUGCUCUUUUGUCCUGCUUUAUUUGAUACUUUCACACAGCUAAAAUUGCUCUCCAACCUAAGGCCAGCAUGGGAUUGAUUUGUAUGCCAUAAGGCAGGGAAUUGUGGCUCUUCAGGUGUUGCUGGGCUGCAUUCCCUACUCUUCCUGACCAUUGUCCAUGCUACCAGGGGUUGAUGGGAGUUGGGCUUCACCAACAUCUAGAGAGCCACAGGUUUCUCAUCCCUGCAGGAUUCUCAGAACACCAAAAGAAUGACAACUGAGUGUUUAGCAAACAGAGGCUACAGUAAUUGCUGUAUAAUUUCUAUAGUAUUUUUAUUGUAUGUUUUAGCUGUAUGAAAGCAGACCGGACUUUAGAGGGGAGAAUCUAGUGGCAUUGACAUGAUUGAGCCUACAUCUCUAUAUCCAAGCAUCCAAGUCACUGUUAUUGGAGCUCUGGUCCUGGUCUCUCCUUUCUCUGCCCAGAAAUCCUCUAAUAAGCCAAGAUUAUCUGAUGACAAUACCCCUCAUGCGUCUCUGUCUUUACAAGCUGAAGCCAAUAAAAUGUGGAACGGGAGGUGGGUAGGACUAGCAUAUUUUGGUUUACUAGAUAAUACUGGAUGAAAGAGAAGAGGUGACAAAUAAAAUACUAUAUCACAUUUCUACAUCAAGAUCAGUGUGUGUUUUCCCCCUAGAAAAAUGGUGCUGGUAUGUCCCUCCUAAUUUGGUUGUAAAUCGCUUGGGGUUGCCUAUUAACUACUAUACUGAAAAUCCUGUAUAGUUGCUCUGACCAUCCUCUGCUGAUAUAAUCUGGAGACAAUCUGGUGUAUUCCAGAUAUUUUGGACUCCCAUCAUCACUGACCAUUGGCCAUGCUGACUAGGGUGAUAGGCUCUGUAGUCUACAGCAUCUGGAAAGGGCAAAAGCUGGAGAAAGCUAAUAUAUAAAAUGCCACACUUGGGAUUGCUCUUUUACUCUCACUUUCCCAUUUCCACCAGUGGGGAAUUCUUAUUUGCCAUAGAUUAAUACAGCCGCACUGAAUGAAUUCACUAUUGCGUGCCCAACGCUGUGGAAAGCCCUCUUAGCUGUCAUCAGGCAGGAACCCUCUUUGUUGAACUUCAGGCACUUGGUGCAGACUUUUCUUUAUAUAUAUAUCUAUGAAUUUCAGCCAACAGUUCAAGUAAGCUUUUCUGAUCUCAUGGAUAAUUUUAUAUUAUUUUAUCCGUUGUAUCUCUUUUGUAACUUCAUUGUAAACCACUUAGAAACUGUGGUCUUAAGUAGUUUAUAAAUGGUUCAAACAAACAAAGGUACGUUCCUUGCAUAUGUACAUUUCCCAAAAUAUGGAAUAUAUUGGGGAACAUUAAAUGUUGCACCGUGCACUUUCAGCUGGGCAAUACCAGUUUUUUUAGGAAUACCAUGGAGGUGCAGUGUUAUGGCCCAUAUCCCCCUCCCCCACUCCAAAAGAAUCCACCUUUAGCCAUGGGAAAUAAUGGAAGAUACCUGAAGGCCAAUUGUAGUCCCUCCCUGGUCAUAUCGAGGCCCUCCCUAAACACAUUAACCCACACAAUACAGAUUACUGAGGGCUACCACUAGAGGGCAGGGAUGAACAAAGUGUCUCAACACUGGAGGCACUGCAUUGCAGGACAAUACAGUAUUGCCUCUUUUGAUAUUUAUAACUUCUUUUUUUUUGUUAGCCAGAAGAGAGCAGAACUGAGAUCAACCUCUAGCUAUUAACCUGCCACUAGAUUGCUUGGUUUAUCCUCCUUGGAUAAGAUGACAAGAUGUGGGGAAAGUGCAGGGAAAGGAAAAGAGAAUUUCGCUUAUUCUAAAUGUUUCUUGCACAAACACAGGUUUUUGUCCAUACCUAGGACUUAUAAAUCGGAAAGCAGAGCUCAGCAGGCUGUGUCCAUCAGCACUGGUGAGAAGAGGCAGAUAAUAUGGAAGCAGAUAAUUACCAAACGAACACCAGCAGCCGCAUUUUUUCAGUCAUUUUUUUAUUAUUGGGGGGGGAAUUAAAUCCCGAUAUCUAGUGUGUUGGUUGUGUUUUUCUGGCACCCACUCGAUGUUUGUAUGCCUGCUGGGCUGCAAUCCGGAGGCUGGGGAAGAAGAAAAAAAUAAAAUAAAGCACACUGCAAUUUCUAGCCAGCUACUUCGCUGUUCUCUGUGCCUAGCUUCAAAGAUUUUAAAAAAUAUAUUUUUCUGCACCACAGCUCAGAGUUGCUAAAUCCAGAAAUUGAAACAUUCUGGGAACCAAAUCAUUUUGGGGGCAAAUCAAAGCUCUUGGAACGCUGCCCUCAGGAUUUUCAAGAUAGUAGUUAAUAGUGAAAACAGUUCAAUAUUUUUAAGGAAAUCCCAAUUACUGCAGGCUGCACUAUUCAAAUCCUUGAAUGAAGGCAGCAUAUCUAACAGGAGUAGAUGUUCUGUGGGUGAAUGGCUGUGUAUCCUGCAUAUACCACCACAGAAGAAUUAAUGGGAAAAGUCCCAGUUGUACUUCAUGUCUAUUGUACAUAUUGAUACAAAUGCUGUCGAAAUUGGUACUGACUGCUUAGGUAAGGCUUUGUUCUGUCUCUCACAUAAAGCAGGAGUUAAAUCCCUUUGUUAGGCAUGAAAACAAAUACUCUUCACAAACAAAAUUAUUCUACUUACUCUAGAAAUAAUGUUUCCAUUUGCUCAAUAGAAAAUCCCUGAUGCUUCUGUCUUGUGUUUGUCAGAAGAGAUUGUCGCAUUGUAGACACAGGCAUAUCUUAUGCUUAUCCUAGACUUUGCCCACAUUAGAUGAAAAAAAAUCCUCUAAAAACAGCUUCUACUUUAGCAGCCUAGGGUACAAACCAGCUAAGGCUUCAGUCCUGCACAACAGAACUUACAUCUGCAUUAGUACACCUACAAGUUGGGUUCCUUAGUUUUAAGAUCAUUUAUGGCUCAAUCCUUCAAUAUGGUACACCGCACAAACAGAAGAUUCCUGUAGCUGUUGUUUUUGUUGCAACUGCUAAUGUGACUGUUAUGCUAGAUAGGAUGAUUCCUUUUGAAAGAAAGCGCUAUUCUAAGAGUACUUUCUUCCCUGCUUCUUCCAAAUUCAUGCCUUAUUUUCUUGCCUUUAUUAAUUCUGGCUCACCACUUUCGACUGUUCCUUUCAUCUCUUUUUACUGAAUGAUGGUAAAAUGUUAAGAUAGGCAUCCUCCUCCUCUUCCUUCUCUCUUCUUGUGUCUUCCUCAAGCUCUUUGGAGCGUGUCCUCAUGGUAUGUAACGUCUCUCAUUCAGUUCUUUUGUCGGUAUUUUCCAGCCCAGAUUUCAUCCUUUGGUGACUCUCUGGUAAUUCUCACUAAAUAUUUAGAGUUGUACCUGAUUGUUCUACAUGUGAGGAUUUAUUGCUGUGUUUUUAGGGCACUCAUUAAAAGGUAAAUAGCCAUAGUCUAGUUGCACUGUCCUAAUCUCAUACUAGACAAAAUCAAGUUUCCACACCAAUAAGCAGAUGUGCACUUCUGAGCAAGGAUUGCCAGAAUUCCUCUUGGGAUUGAUAAACUCCAUUUCUGAAGUAUCUUGGGAAAUUUUUAACUUGCUGGAAGAGCUCCAAAAGUAGGCAGAAACAGCUUGACUGGAUGUUUAGAUGCUAGAUUUCUUGGAUGUGUUGAAAGGGCAUGCUUGUCAGACAUCUUGUUCAGGGAAUCAUUAUUGUAAGCAUUUACAGCAAAAGAACGAGAAGAUGUUCCUGGAGACAGUAGAAUAUUUGGGGGUGGGAGGAAUGAAAUUGAUUAGAAAUAACUGAAGGUUUAAAGUUGGCUAAGAUGCUCCUGGGAAAGUUUGAAGUCACCCAUUACUAUAGCAUUCAUCUUUUUGAGUACUUCUUUGAUUUUCUUCAUCAUCUCAAGGUUUCCCUGAGCCCUUUGAUCAGGGGGAUGUUAGCACAUUCCCAGUACUCUUAUUUUGUCCCACUCUUCCUCUGGAACGGGCAAAGAGCAAUUUGAUGGCUCUGCACUACAUUUGGAAUUGAGAAGAGCAGCUGGAGAGGGAUGGUGCCUGCCUGUCCUCCCUGUGGACUUCCUAUACCCUCUGUCAGGGGAAAAAGGUAGGGUGUACCUAAAAUCAUCAUCAUAAUCAUCAUCUUACCCUGGACCCAGAGGUAUAUCACAGCUUCUGCACAGUUGCUGUGAUGGUGAAGGUGGUGAUGUAUCCCACACUUCCCCUGAAAGGAGCCUAGGGUGACAAACACACAAAUGACAGGACAUUUAAAACAUCUAAACACAAUUCCAAUACAGACGUAGACUGGAAGCGAUCUCAACUUAAAAGGCAUGUUGGAAGGACUUCAGGAGGUGACAAAAUGACAACAGAGACAGUGUCUGUCUAAUAUUUAAGGGGACAUUUAAUAUUUAAUUCUCCUUUGGGUAGAAGGUUUUCAAGAUAAUAGUGCCAGCACAGGCACUCUUGGAGGAAGCCGAUUAGCUAGAUACAUUCUGGUCCAGGUUCAGGCCAAUAUCAGAAAUGAAUUGGCUUUGAUUUCGCUGCUGUGGGCGAGGGGCGCUUGUGACCCUGUUGCUCUUGCUCAGUCUCUCAGCAGCUUUUGAUACAUUUAAUGAUGACAUCUUGCUGGACAGCCUAUAUGAGUUGGGAAUGGCAGGCACUAUUUCACAGUGCUUCCAUUCCUUCAAGGCCAGUUCUAGAGAGUAUAACAAAACAGUGAACAGGGUGGUGAUACCUCCUGAAGGACAUUGUCUGAAAUGAAAGACAAAUUGAAGGACAUCAUCCUCUUUCUUUACUCCUCCCGAUGGAAACAUGCAGGUGGGGACAGAUAUACGCCUGCUUUAAGUCGUGAAACUCUUUAGCGACGAAACAUCUGAUUACUGGAACAACGUCCAAACACUGAACCACUGGUAUAUCACAAGUGGACUCUUUAUUACUGUGUUUGCAAUUGUUUAAGAUAAAACCUACUUGGGGGAAAACUACUUUUGCCAUUUUUAUGGACAUUUAUUGUUUACAGAUAGUUGCCUUGAUGGUAUUAUCUUGUGUCGGUUGCAGUUCUAGUGAGUGGCAUGGGGUGCCUCUAUCACAGCCUCCUAGAUCUUUAUGUGAAGCCCAUAAGCAGAACAUGAGGGCAGUAAGCCUCUCUCAUUUGAGUACACACUGCUAUCCAGAGAGAGAUUGCCUCUGAUCCUUGAGGUUUAAUGUAGCCAUCAUGGCUAGUAGUCAUUGAUAGCCUUUCUUCUUCAUGAGGGUGUCCUAUGGAUCUAGAAAGGCUUCUUUCACACGAUUCCUUGAUGACUGGAAUCUUUGGAAACAAUCCAUGGAGCCAUAUCACUUUUGUAAAAAUGCCCAGGUCACUGUGGGAGCAAUAGGAGAGACAAUGACAAUCAUGCCAGGAAAUGCAGCAUUGUAACAGGAGCAUGUGAACUACCAACAACCUAUUUGAACUGAAGAAUCUGGUGGGAACAGUUUCAUUGAAACAGGCACAAAGCUUUGAGAAAGGAUAAAUAUAUAACUAGUACCUGCCAUUUCCCCAGGUGUAUUUAGGUGUUGUGAAAGCUGAAGCCCACCCAAGAUGGGCCUCUUUUGCAUAUUUCCUUCAGGAAAAUUUGUUUUUCGUAUUUGUCCUUUUGAAUAAUUCCCAGAUUUUUCUGAUCACCCUAAUUACUGUAGGUACAAAAGAGCUUCAUAUACAUUUACAAAAACAAACACUCACGGUACUUUUGUAAUUACAAAGUCUGCCAUUAAAUUAGUAUUUCAUGUGUUUACAUUUAAAUUAUUAACUGUGGCAGAAUACAAUGGAAGCAGAAAGAACUUGUAAUUUCGGCGAUAAUAAUGGAACACGAUUAGAAGCAUAUCUUUCUAAAACCAAAAUGUGGUUUGCGUUUGCAUUUGCAUUCUCUCCUUGUUUUAGCUGUCGUCAGGCCAAUACAUGUGUUCUCUUUCCUUUUAGGAGGCUAUGUAAUGUUUUAUGGGUUUUUAAAUAAUAUUCUCAAAUCAUUUGCACUAACCACAUGGACUGAGCUAAGUGCAGUAGGAGUACUGGGAUUGUACUGAAACACAGUCGCAAGGCCUGUAGUUUGUUUUCUUUCUCAAUACUAAUAGCUAAUUCCUUUGCACAUCAAAAAUACCAGUCUUCUUCCAGCUUCCCAUGCACCUGCCCAGGGCAUUUUUUUCCUACCAGAAGAAGAAACCAAAUGCCCCCCCAAUAUUGUGGCCAACAUUUUGAAAAGUCUUGCUACACCAGUCACUUGGGCUCUAAUAUCUGCCUUUUUCUAUUCUCUUUUACUCCCCCCACCCCUGCCUGGUACACGACAGGUCCUGCUUCCCACACAUAGCACCAAUUGUGGGGCUCCAAAGAAAGACACAAGCCUGCCUCUUAAUACAUCACAAAGCACCCUAGGUUCCAACUUCGUUUACAAUGCAUACAUCACUUAAUCUAGAUUUAGUUUUAUUUUUGCUGACCUAAACUUACUGACAAUGGAAGGAUUAAGUAGCCCCUUCUUAGCAUUGUUUAUAGACAGAAAUGAUAGACACCAAUCCUCAGAUCCCUAGGAUGGUGCUAGUUCUGCUAAAAUAAUAAUAAUAAUAAUAAUAAUAAUAAUAAUAAAAAUAAUUUAUACCCUGCCCUCCCCAGCCAAGACCGGGCUCAGGGCGGCUAACAACCAAAAAUAAAAACAAGUUGAUUAAAAUACAAUUUAAAAAACAAGAUUAAAAUACAACUUUAAAACAUUAGGAUGCAGCCUCUUCACAGGAGGAGAAAGGAAAAGAAAGAGGGGGAGGGAAUCAAACUGAUUCUAAGCCAAAGGCCAGGUGGAACAACUCUGUCUUACAGGCCCUGCGGAAAGAAAUCAGAUCCCGCAGGGCCCUGGUCUCAUGAGACAGAGCGUUCCACCAGGCCGGAGCCAGUGUUGAGAAGGCCCUUGAAUAGGGGCUGAGAAAAUAAAGUGAUGUGAAAAUUCUAGUAUUGCCAACCAUCUUUAGAUUUGUUGCUGCUGCUGUGUUGUUAAUAUAUGCCCCGCCAGGGCCAGUGCCAGACCUCAGUGGGUUGUCAGAAUAGGGCUAGGUUUGAGUGGGCUCUCAAUUGCUGAUGGGCCCCACAUGGCGCCAACCUGGGUCCCCACCUGGUGCCGCUAUGUGCUUUUGCUGCCACGCAUACUGCUGUUCACUUGCCUCAACCCAACCUGAACAUGUUUCCCAGGGGGAUGGAAGCUGCUGCCACUGCUGGUGCUCUGCAAUGGGAACCAAGCUGUGGUGUUCAGCUCUGAUCCAUGGCAACCUCCUGCUGCGCUAGAUUAUCCAAAAUGCAAUGUCCGACCUGAUAUGCUGAGUCUGUUGCUACAUUUUGCAUAAUCAAAUAUGGCGAGAAGCCACUGUGGGUGUGAGCCAACUGCCAAUUCAGUUCCCAUUCAAAAGUGCUGCUGCUGUGGACCAAACAAUUAUGUGUUUUUUAAAGGGAGGGGCGGGAUUAGGUGAGGUAGGCGAGUGAUUGGCGUUGGCAGCAACUAGAGUGCCAUACUGUGGGUAUAAUAGUGGCAAGGGUUGUGGGGACAUCUGGCACAGGUGUCAGGAGCGAGCCAGCAAGAAAUCACACUGAUUAAGUGACGUUAAAUCUUAAUGAGAAGAAACAGGAUCUGCCCAGGAGUGUCAGGUCUUCUAAUGAGCACAGCAUUUAUCUUUGGUAGUUCUUGCCCCUAUGAGGCAAUUGUGGAGAAUGAACAUCCCCAGCUUCCCCACAGCUGCCUAAGUCUCCUCCUCUCCUGGGUCUUUUGCAAGCAAUCUGAGAUAUGUCAGCUCCGGCUUCAUACCUGGAAGACCAGGAGAGGGGAGGUUGUCACAGCAGGAGUGUGAGACACCAUUGUUUCCUCACAGUUUCAGUUGGUUGGCUGAUAAAAACUUGCAUGGAGGGGACAGCUGGCUGGGCCAGGGAGGUGAUUAAUGCCUCCUUAUGAGAAGGAGUGGUCCCUGUCUGGUUGAAGGAGGCAGCGGUAAGACCACUCCUCAGUAAACCCUCCUUUGAUCUGGAAAAUCUAAGUAAUUAUCAUCCAGUUGCCAAUCUCCCCUUCUUGGGCAGGAUUCCUGAGCAAGUGGUCAUGCACCAGAUCCAGGCACUGUUGGAAGAAACUGAUUUUCUAAAUCCAUUUCAAUCAAGUUUUAGCCCUGGUUUUGGCACCGGUUUUGGUUGCCCUGUAUGAUUACCUCUGUCAGGAGAGUGACAGGGGAAAUGUGUCUCUGUUAAUUCUUCACCUCUCCAGGGCUUUCAAUACAAUCUAUCCUCUAGCAUCCUCCUGGAAUGGCUGUCCAAGUUGUGGGUAGGUAGCAUCACUUUGUGGUGGUUCCAGUCCUGACUGGAUAGUCAUUCCCAGAGGGGAGGGCUUGAGGAGUGCUCUUCGGCCCUGUGGAGCCUUCGAUACAGGGUUCCUCACGAUUGGCAGUGGUGGUAUUUUGAAAAUUAUUACCUUUGUUGAAUAUAUUUUGUCUGUACCUCUCUUACCAGCCUCUGAUCAUGUCAGUCCCCAACUGUCUAUACAUGUCUGUUCAGAAAUAAGUCCCAUUGAGUUCAGUAUGGUGUACUCGCAGGUAUAUGAUUGCAGCCUGAAUCUGGUUACUCAAAAGUAAAUUCAAUUUCUUUCAGUGGAAAUUGCUUUGAGAUAAGAGUGUUUGGGGUUACAAGGAGCACAGCCAUCCUGAUUUUAGAGGUGAAUAUACCUGUUAUUUCACAACUAUUUUCUUUAGUUUUCAAAAACUAUCCUUUAAAAAAAAGGGGGGGGUUUCAAACCUUCAGAAACUCCCUGGUGAUAAUUUAUCCAGUCUGUGCCAAGGUUCAGUUUGUUACAAACCAUAUCACCCCAUUUUCUCUAAAUAUUCAUAUAUCUGUUUUGAUACCAGAGAAGGAAUUUCUAUGACCUGUCUACUUGCAUUGUAGCGUGUGUAAAAAAAAAGAAAAGUUUGUGACUGCAACCCUAAAUGUUUUAUCACCUGUCAGACAUUUCAGUGAUAAUAAAAUGUAACAUCCUUUAAAUUAAUUAGACAUGAUUAAGACUUCAAGCCCACAGGCCACUUAAUUAUGCAAAAAUUGUAAGUUAGCUAUUUAAAUUACCAUUAAAUUGAUUCUUAUGUUAAUUGAUAUCUCACUUAUAACCCUGCAUUUCACUUCUAUAGAAUAACAGGAAAUUAUUAAACUUUAAUGCAUAUACCUGAAAAUGGUUAAGCAACCAGUCCUGCAAAGAAAAUAUACUGAAGAUGAAUAAUGGAGGCAGAAUCGGACAUAUACAGUCACACACACACACACACACACACACACACACACACAAACAAUAGGGCCUGCUUUAGUUAGGUAGAUCUGACAUUGUUUAUGCAUAACCUAUUAUUAUCCAAAUUUGUUCUGAUUUCUCUACCCUUCAACUGAGUGAAGCUUUGAUUUUCCACAAAUGCACAGUAACUGCUGGUACACAGAUCAUUCUGGCAUGAAUGGAAUAAAAGAGCAGAGGUGUGAAGGCAUACCCAGAAUUACAGUAUGUUAGUAGGUGGGUAUUACUUCUCAUCAAAUUCACUUGGAGGUGAAGCCCUUGAUCAAUGAAACACAGCAAAACACUUUCUUUUUGUGACUGUACAUACAAUUGCAUGAAAUUAAUCAUAUAGCACCUUUCACCAGCUCAGGCUGGUACACUAACUCCAUACUCUCCUAGACAGCCACAGUGCGAUCACAGUUAUCCAUGCCCUGGUGACCUCUAAUCUUGAUGCAUACAGUACAUGGGACUACUGAUAUUUGGAAACCUCAGGUAUUUGGGGAACGUAGGAAGGAGCCUUAUACCAAAUCAGAUCAUUGGUCCACCUUUCUCAGUAUUUCUCACCCUCUGGCACCCUCCAGAUUUGGGGCUGGAUAUAAAGCCACUCCAGAUCCAUCCCUGGCCUGCCUUCUAUUUCUGCCCUGGGACCAUAGAAUAGAAUUGCAACUUUAGGGUACAGAUCAAUGGAUUAAUCUAUUUCCAGUUCAUGCCAGUUUCACAUGUCUUCAUUCAUAAACCCAUUCUGCACUCUUUCCACGUUAUUCUACAAUCUUUCUUUUUCUAAAAAAAGAGAAAGAAAGAAAGAAAGAAAGAAAGAAAGAAAGAAAGAAAAAAAGCCCAUAUGAAAAGUCACAGCUUUGGUGUGCCAUUUUGCAUGCAUUUUACCUUAAAAUAUGCAUUUUUGAUAAUUCAUUUUAUCCUAUAAUACUUAUUUUCAUGUGCAUUCCCUCUAGAAACCCUGGGAAAUCUAUAUGGUUUCUUCAAUUUUUGCAGUUUUUGUUUUUGUUUUUUUAAAAACCUUUUAAUCGGGAUCUUGAACCUUCCAUGUCUGGGCUGCCGUGAGUUUUAUUGCUUAUAGUUUUUUAUUAUUAUUUUCUUAUUUUUGAUUCUUCUUAGGGUGGAACAGUGGAAUAAUUUGGUACACUUUGUAUCACAGCAUUCAAGAGUACUGCAAAAACCUGAAGUUUAAUUGUUUUCUGAUCCACAUAUUAGCUCAGGAAGUGUAAAUCAUGCUGGUUUGCUUAAAAAUAUGAUUGAAUGGUGUAAAACUUUGUGUCUCAAAAUCAGAACCUGGAUCAUAGUUAGGAUGAUAGACAUUGUAGUUCAGACUUUAUCUUAAGACAAACUCUUUCAUGUGGAACUCUUUUAAUUGAAAAGAGAAACACACCCACCCUUUUUCCUACCAGGUCUUAAGUUUUGCUUUAGUUAAAAAUACUUUUAACUGGGUCAAGACCAAGUUCCUUAGGGUGACAUUAAAAAGAGUUUGAUUUAAAUAUUAGCUGUCAAGGAAAUUUAUAAUUUUGGCAGUUAUCAGACACCUUUAUUCUGUGUAAUGAUGAAGAUUUGACUUUGAUUUUUCUUUUUCACCCAAAUGAAUGGUGCACCUUUCUUUAAUUUCUGAUACUUGUCGGCCAUUUGGCCCAAUAAUGGCAUGCAAAAUGAACUCUUAAAAAAUUUAUGCUAACAUUUAUUAAAUAAUGUAUCAUAAAAUAAGUCAAUUUGAAAUUCUAGUUGAACUCCCUGUCUGCUUGUGAGUGUUCCACCCCCACCCUUUUCAGAAGCCCCAUCUUCAUAAACCAUUUUCACAGCCUUUCUAAUUAGUGUGAAUAUUUCAAAAAAUGUUAUUGUAAAUUGAUAGCUAUUGAGCCGCAUGCUAAAGUUCUUUUUGGACUUCCCAUUUAAAUGUCUGUUCCUCCGUUGAAAGGGGCCACUUGAAGUGUCAAGAAAACUCUGGCACUGGUUACGUUAACCCAAUGACACACCUAUCUUGUGCAGCUUUUGGCAGUGGGGAUGGGCUUAGUUCUAAUCUAAGCAUGACUGAAAAUAAAAUGUCAAAAGAUGUAAAUGCAUCUCUAAAGGCCUGCUUUGAUCUUGGUUUGAUCCCAUUCUACUGACUUAAGUGGGGUUAAUUGCUUGUUUUAAAUAGAUUCUGGAUUUCUAAUAGUGUAAUCCAAAGUGGAAGUCUUUGGAUUUAACAUGAUUAGCAGCCCAUCCUAAACUCAUUUUCUUGUAAAAACUCAUUGAUGUCAAUAGCACUCACUUCCAAGUAUAUGCAUAUUUUGUAUUGGGGUGUUAGGGACUAUUUUCACAAGUGACACACACAAAAAAAGGCUUUGAGUGUCGAUUCUACUUUUGUGUCAUGUCUGAAUACUGUUGAUCCAGGAGAGAAUGUGUAAAAAAUACCCAUUACAGCCAAAGUUGGUCUUAUUUUCACAUUAGGAACUGAUUGUAAGGCACCUAGAGGAGGCAGUCUAAACAGCUCACUUUCCAUUAGUUACCUCCUGCACCACCACUAUUCUGGUCUCAUAGCCAACUCAGCUCCUCAAUCUAAGGCACACAUUUUACUGAGUAAUCACAUAGGUCAGGCAAGGGAGUCUAUAUGGCUUUCUCCUCAAAUUCUGACCAGUUCACACCUAUGAAUAGGACUGAGCAGAAGAGUGUAUGUGUAUUGUACAAAAACAGUCACCUGCUGCCAAAUGCAAACCCCCCCAUCUUGCUAUUUGUUUUGGGGGGGCUGUAAACUGGGAGGAAAAGUUUCACUCAUUCGGAGUGAUGCCAGAAAGUUCUGUGCUUACUCCAAUUUGGCUCUGUAACACUGUCUGACAAUCAACUCUGAUUUACUAUGUGAUGUCACCAGGAAGCAUAUUCCUAGCAUAUUCUGAGUGAGGGCAAUGCUUCUUGCCAUCCCUCUGAAUAGCCUUCCUAGUGACAUCACAUAGUAAAUCAGAUUUGGCUGCAAGACAUGCAGCUUGCUGACAGCUUUAGAAUGUAACGCAAUUCUAAUGUCACCUCAAGAACAAGCCACUUUUUAAAAAAAGAAAUAGCUCCCAGGUUGCAGAGUGAGGAAAGAAGCAAAAGCAAAUUCAUGACCAGCAGCACAUGACAAAGGUAGGUGAGAGGUGGUCAAUAAGCUUUUUGCUGUAUGGCUUAUUAUUCUCCACCUUCCCCGUUUUCAUGGGCAAAAGUACAGAAACAGACAUAAGAAUCUCUGUACUGGAACAGGGAAGAACUGACUCUCAGUCCUUUGAGCACUAAUCUUUUUUUCUUCUGUGCUUUGCUAUGAUGAAACAAGAUUGUUCUAUAUCACUAUAAGAACUCUGAAUGUCACACAAAAGUUAUGUAUAAUACCACCAUUCCUCAUUUCAGUUAUACUUGGAUGAAAUAAGCACAGCACCCAAUCCUUCCUUGUAUGUUACCCACUUUUCUCUGUGUUUGUUUUUUUGGGUUGGGAAAAUAGCCAGAUGAUGAUGGGCAAUGAUCUUCCUACAAAACCUUAAAAAAAAUCCAAUAACAUGACUUGGUCAAUUUACUGCAUUUCUAUAAACCUAAAAUGAUUGAAAUCGCAGGUAGGAUUUCAAAUAACCAGCCAAAAUGAACAGAUUGAAAGAAUGUGGCGUAUCCAAGGCAAAGUAGAGACCCCAAACUGUAGAAUGGUUUUGGAGUUUGUAUCCAAGCACACCCACGGGCACCAGUUUACUCAGGGGAGUCCGCAGCAGAAUAUCAGUGCAAGAGUUUUAAAAACUGAAUAUUAUUCCAAGUACAAGUUACACUAAAUUCAACCCUUAAUAAAAGUAGCUUAUCCAGUGGGUCAUAGGGUAAACCCAGACCCCAAACUCUAUUCCUUGGGAAGAAUGCUGAAAUAGUUUUGAAACCCCUGAAUUGUAUAUUUACUGGUUUCUGCAAGGCUAGCUACUACAUAUGAAUGGAUAGACCCUACCAAUAUUAUUAUGGAUAGAUGGUGUAAGAAGGCCCUGUACAUCACUUAAGGUGUGUGGUGGUCAUGAGAACCUUGUGGCCAUCUGGUGGACUUUCAUGACAUAUCAAUCACUCUGGACUUAAGCAGCCAAGUAUGUCUUCAUUUCAUUUCAUUUCUUUCCUUUCCUAAAAUUCAUGCCCCACUUGAUUCUAAAAAACCUCAAAGUGGUUUAUCCUGUGUUGCCUGUUGGGGAGUGGGAUUACGUGUCCCUGUUGCUUUCUUUAUACUCUGCCUCCUCUGCUCGAACCCCCAUCAUAACUAUCAUGAUUUUCCCACCCUGGAUGGUGCUAUGAAGGAAGAGCAUACUUUUGUUGUUUGUUGUUGUAAGAGUUAUAUUAUGCCCAGGUAUGCUAUACACUUGCCUCCUGUAUAUGUACAGACAUAUUAAUGAAACAAAUAAAGAUCACAGACAGAGUAUAUUCAUCUACAAUAUUUUUUUGAAGUUGCCAGUAGCAUUAGCUCAUACAUCCUGCGGUGCCAUUCCAUGCCAUGCCAUUUGCUGAACGAGAGCCAAAACUGGACAAAAUAGAGACUGCCAUCCUAUACAGUCUUUUUAGAAUGUGAGUUCCAUUGAACCCAGAAGGAACUAUUUUCAAAUAAACCGGCUUAGGAUCAUAAAGUUACAUCCAGUGUUAGUCAUACUCACAGCAGACCCACUGAAAUCAAUGGACAUAACUAAUGUAGGUCCAUUAAUUUUAGUGGGACUAAGUUGAGUACAGCUCACAGUGAAAUCUUCCCUAUUGAGAACACAGCUGAUACUAUCUGCAUGAUUCAUACCUGUGUUAUGCAGGACUGAUUUCCUAGUAGAUUUAAGAUAUUUCUCUUCUUCUACAUAGAAGAACAGAGCAUCGAGGGAACAAGAUGGCUUUGCAGAUACAUCAUCUAUUUAAUUCAUAUAUAAUUGCUCAUUCUUCCUGACUUUUUUUGUAAUUUAAAUCAAGUGUUAAGCAGAGCCCUAUCAAAUAUCUUCAACAAAACAAAAGAGAAUAUCCUUUUUCUGAUUCAACCAUAAAUGUUUAUGAAUCAGGUAAGAACCUUUUUUCCUUUGAUUUUUUCUCCAUCACAAACUUAAAAAAAAGUUGGCUAUAAAAAUUAGCAGACGCAGAAAGCAUUUUCUGAAGCUAGCCUCAAAAUUAACUAUCUACCAAGCACUUAACAUGGCUAUCUCGUCCUUGUAAUUUUGGAAUGCAAUAAACCUGAUGGUAAUUUUUAUACAUGUGAGGAUUAGUACAUGCCUGCAUUGUUCACCUGGUAUCACAAGCUAUAAUAUGCUUUCAAUCAAAUCACUUGAAAUACAGAUUGUGAAAAGAAUAUGUGUUAUUAUUUUGUUUUAAAAGAUAGACGCACACAGCUUGUUAUCUUUGACCACAAAGCAGAGGGGGAAAAUUCCCCCGUCACACUAGAUGUAUCCAUGUUUUAUGUAUGCUCGCUGCAAUAACAUUUCCAUAUGAAUAUAAUGAAAUGGCACGUUCUUUUUAGUCUUUACAUUGUAUAGAUUUAUGCAGCAUGGACUACAUACAGUACACUGUAUCAUCAUGAAUAAUGUGAUUAUGGUAGGUAUAAUAUGUGACUCCUCAACAGGAACUUGAAUUAUGUUCAUGCAGUAGUUUUCUUUCAUAAGUUGCAUAAUUUUCUUUUGGUUUCCCCCCUGGGGAAUUUGUUUUAUUUCUUGCAAUUUACUUGCUGCUUCUAUUUUUGUAUAAUAAUAAUAAUAAUAAUAAUAAUAAUGUGCAUGGUAAAAUAUUUACAAUGGCAUAAUCUCCAGCUUUGGAUGCCCAGAAAAUGCUGUGUAAUAUGACUGAAUUGAUAAUUAAGUAGGAAUAUGUCACCAUAUGCUUAAAUUGCUCUAUGGCCAAUGUUUUUUCUCCAAUUAUCAAAAUGCACAUGAUCAAAAUUAUGUUUGGAUAACAACAUUCCAGCUACGUAUGGCACAUGCCUAUGAUUCCAGUUGGGCAUCAUAUUUCUUCUGGCUUGUGUAGUGUACAUAUGUAUGACCUGUUAACACAGAGUGGUCUAAACUCUUCUACUAAUUCCCUUCGUUUCCCCCUUCCUAUAACUUUGCUUCGUACCUGUAAAAUACAGUGCAAUUCAUAAAACCAGCUAUGACUCGGGAAAAUCUGGAAACUAAAUAGCUAUUCUAAGUUGAUGAAAGCAUUUGUUUUAGGAAGGGAGAAGAUGAUGUGCAAGUUUUGUUGCAUUUUGAAGUUCCACAUUUACUGGAUUCAACAAUCAUGCUCUUUGGGUCUUCCCUUCCCUUUUUAAUUCAUCAUGAAAACACCCCAACUGUACAGAAAUUAUUUCCAACAUCUCUCUCCCUUCUGUGAUAAAAAAGCACCUGGGCAAGAGACCACUCUGAUGCUAUUUAAAAUUAGGUCAUAUUUUUGUGGUGUUGAAGAAAUGAGACCUAUCUUGAUUUCCAUGGUGCAUCCUGAAUGCACAUUCUUCUUAAUUCCCAAGCAGAAGUUUAAGUCAAGUCCUUACAAAACCUUUGUGAAUGAUAUGAAACAUUUUAGGAAAUACCACAUUUUCUGUCUGUGUUUGCUGCUUUGAUUUAUCUAUUUGGGCAAGUUUGUUAUAAGGGGCAAGGGGAGAGUGAGGUCAUUGGUCAGUCCAACCUAAUGUUGCCUACUCAGAAAGCAGUGACUCCCCAAGGACUGGUGCAGGGGUCAUUCCCUGUCCCAAUACUGAAUAUCAGUGCUUUUUUUCUGGGGGUACGCAGGGGUACGCAUACCCCUAAACAUUUUGUGAAUCUAAGUUUGGCCUCAUUGAGGGGCAGUAUCUCAAUAUAAGUAGGAAAAUGAGAGUACCCCUAAGCAUUUUUUCAGAAAAAAAGGACUGCCAAAUACUAUAUCUGGUAAUUCCAGGGCUGAAUCUGACAUGCUUUGUUCAUGCAAAACACAUGUUCCAGCACCUGAAGACCAAAUGCAAAAUCCUUGUUCUGUCUGCCCAACUUUAUAUAUGAACUGAUGCACAAUCCUGUGCACAGGUUGCACUCAUAGAACACACUUGUGCUAAUGUUUUGUAGCUAGAGGCCACAAUCCAGUGCAGGUGUAUGUGUGUGCGUAGGUACACUGAAGUCAGUUUGAAGUCAUAGACUUUUUGAUAUUGUUUUAUUUGGGGGCAGAGAAGAAAACUGAAACUGCAGGAGGAUGCAGUUAUUUCUUUGUAAUUCUGGAAUGCAUAAAUUCUGAUUAUCAGUGUUCGAAACUCCCAUUGUUCUAGGUGCAUUUUGCGACAGGGAAUUUUAUUAGCAUGAACUGUUUCUGAGCUCUGGGCGCAGUACUGCACCUAAGAUUUCAGAUUAAAACUGCAGAGUGGAAGGAAAGGAGGACCUUUUUCUGCCUUCCCACUUCCAGCUACUCUCUGAAAACUGAAGAAGAGACCCAGGGUAAGGACUAGACCAUGUGAAAAAUGAGCAUAAUAUUUUAGCUGCAGUUCAUUCACAUUCAGCUUUGUAUUUUUAUUUUUUUUAAAAAGUGCGCCUAGACAUUCCAUUGUUGUACCCAUAACCUAGGUUUAAGGUGCCGUUUAGCUCCUAGCUUUCAUAUCUCAGUUUCUAACACUGUUGAUUAUAAUACACUUAUUAAAUUCCCUCAGUUCUCAAAGCAGCUGAGCCCAAAAUUUGAGUUUAAGGUAACUUAAAUUUCAACCUUAUGCAAAGUAUAGUGUACCUGUAAGACCUUUGGUUUAUAUGUAGGAUUAGGCUGCUUGCUUCAUAGGCCACAAUCCACUGUACACUUGUAGAGGGUCUUUCGUUCUUCUUUUGAGGACCAGCCCUGUAGCCCAGUUCACUUAACUCAGCAUGCACAUUCAGUGAACGCCUGAAACAGUAGCCUCUGCCUCUCCCCCUGCUAACGUUCGGUGAAUAGUUUAGCGGGGAGAAGCCUGUUGAUGUCAUACCACUACCAACAUGUGCAUACAUUGAAUGUGCCUACUGAAGGAGUGAAAAGGAUGCCUGUGCCAGAUUGCAAACACCUAUUGCAAUCUCUCUGGGUUUUGUUUUGGUUUUUUUAAAAAAGAAGAUUGUAAUGUGUGCACAGAGGCUAUUUUCGGAAAUGCAGUUUAUUGCACAUGUAGAUCUACAAAUGCACUCUGAUCUACCUGUGUGCUGCUCUGGUCAGUGGGCAAUGGUUUCAGUCAGACCAAAUCCAAGUACUUUUCAUUUAAUUGGAUUUGAUGUCUUGUUGUUUGAACCAAAGAGAUUGAACAGUGUGACCCUAAGGACAACUAGUCCAAGGCAAGUCUCAGUUCAGUCACACAUCUCCUAGUAAGGGUCCAUGAGAUUUCAGCCUAAGAUCCCAAUAGUUCAAGGAUCUAGAUCCCAGCAAGCUUCUUAUUGUAAUCCUCCAGACUGUGAUCAUUUUAUACCCAUCCCUUUUUGGUACAGCAAAUGCAUUCUUUGUUAGGAUGCAGUAAUUAUAAGGUUCUCCGUUAUAUGGCAGUUACCAGGUAAUUCUCAAACAUCCAUGCAAUUUUAAUGGACACAGGUUAGGUAUAUAUGUGAUCAGCAACAAAUAAAAAGUCAUGCCAAAGAAAAUGUUAUCCCUGUUGGUGCAGGGUCCUUCUUCUUUAAUCCUGCGUCAUGUUUGGUUAAAAAGUAAUGCCUCUUCUACCUCUAGGAGUAAUGUCAACAUUCCAGUCCCAUACACAAGGUGUGAUGUUGCCAAGUAGCUAUUAGUGACAUGUUGAUCCGAAGCCAGCUGUCUUUUACCCAACCAAACUUUAGUUGAUCUGGAAUGGGAGAGUGGCACUCGAUAACAUGGUGUCUUUUACACUUCGCUAUCCAAAUUAAUAUUAGCUAAACUCGUGCAACAAUUCAAGAGUUUAGGGUCACUUUAUUAACAGGGAACAUCAAUCCAGGGUAUAAUUCAAUUAAAAAACAUCAAUAAAAAUCUAAUUUCAAAAGUCGCGAGCAAGGUGCACCAAUAUACCACAUCAGGCAGUCAGAAAGCGCUCGGCUACUAUUGAAUCAUUGCCUGUUUUAAUAAGUAUUCAGAAAAUUAUACCAAGACUUCAAAAGAAAUUGUAAGGAAUUGUUAGCAGGUUUAUUAAUGUUUUAUGUUUUAUUAAAAGUUUGGGUGUACAUUUCACAAUGAGCAACAUCAAAAAUCAGACUUUCUGCCUGUAAUUUUGCUUCCUCCUGUCUUUCUGCCUUUGGGAUUCGCUCUUUUCCUUUCAUCAGCUGCCAUUUUCAGCAGCAUGCAGUAAUUUCAUGGCUCAUUGCAAGCGCUGAAAACCUUUGAAACCACAAAUGCUAACCUACCUGGCCUGCAGCCAUUUAGGAAGAGAUUAAUUUAGCAAACAGAAGCAAAACACUUUCUACUCCUAGCCUGUGCAUAAUUUCACUUCUAUCUAUAUUUAUUUUACAGUGAGCAGCGUAAUGACAAUUUCAGUAAUUGCAACUCUGUAAAAAUUUGCCUACCUAGCUUAUCUCGCUAUCACAAGACUGUGAGUCAGUCAGAUUAGGGGGAAAUAAAGUACAGUGUGAAGCCUGCAUUGGUUGCCUUCCAAAAAAAAUAUGUGUUUUUAUAUCAAACUUAAGUGAUGCUUUGCCCCUUAUUUGUAUACUUAUCUGCAGGACAAUGGAUUCUCUAAGAUGUUGGGAAGGAAUGCGUGCACAUUUUUUAAUGCACUGUGAUUUAUAGGUGCUGUUUUCACACACACACACACACACACACACACACACACACCCCAGCACACAGCUAGGCUGUGCCAACCCAUUGCUGUAGAUUUAGUUACAAAUGGCUGUUGAGCAAUCUGAACAGAACUGAAAGUCCAUCUGGGGCAAAUUUAGGCUAUCAGGCUUGGAACGAAUUCAGAUUCUAAAUUAGCUCACAAACUGUUAGCUUUAAAAUGAAGUUCAAAUUGUUUUAUUGUUGCUAAUCCAAGGGGAAAAAUAAUAAAUAUAAAAGUCAGCCCAUGGGCUUUUCUCCUAAUAAAUCUUUUCUUACAAUGGCUAUAUUUCUUCAAAACUUAGUUCUUAAAAGUGAGUUGCUGGAUGCUUAUUUGCAUAUUAGAAUGGAAAUGCGUGGUGUUGGCAUAUGCAUUCACCAAAUUUUAAAUACUCUGUAUUUAACAUGUAUUGCUCCUAGUAAGCAGAGAAUCCCCAUCGUAUUUUUAGGUGAUUUUCCUUUCAUGCUAUAGUUGGGGAAACUGAGGCUGAAAGACAGUAGCUACAGCAAGAUCACCCAGAGUACAGGACUGAAAUAUAAGGUCAACAGAUUAUCCAGUUCAAUUAGACCUUGAGUUAACCAGAGCUCCAAGAAGACAACAUACCAUUGUUCAUAGUGUGUUGCUUCCAAAUAAAAUACCUAAGACAGUUUGUAUAUUGAUCAACAAAGUAAACCAACAGCAACCAAAUAUUGGUGUGCAUGGUAGUCUCCCCAAUGUCACAAUUUCAUUCAUUUAUAAAUAAACCUUAUCCCACAUCCUAUAAACCACCAUGAUGAUGCCUUGUGCUACUAUUCUACUAAGGAUCCUCUCAGCUCAUGACAUUCAUUCAUUCAUUAUAUGACAUCACUGCAUGUUUGGAAACAUUUAGGUGGUGUGGGUAAUUUUCAGACAUCACCAUUUGCAUUUUUUUUUAGUUUUUAGUUUUGGUUUUUUUGUAACAGGAAGUCAAAAGGCAAAGAUGUUACUAUAAUCACCUUGGGUAACCUUUUGCCUUAAAAUUUCACUUUCUGUCACCAUUGGCCAAAAUGUCUUCAUAUAAUAAAUAAUGACAGGACAAGUGACAACAGCCAGCCACUGAAACACAAAAAUAUGCAGACACAAAACUGCCCUUUACCUAGCCUAGGAAGCUUAUUUUUAUAAUAUGUCUUUCAAGCUUUUUAAUGAUCAGUAUUUAUUUGUUUAAAAAAAUAUCAGUUGGACAACUUUCUUUUUCUUUAUUAGGUUUAUAGAAAACUGGAUAGUUUUUCCAAGAAGGAAAGUGAAGGGUAGAACAUUAAACUUGUUUAUGCACUGUUUUUAUAAUAGCUAAUUCAUUUAAGCACACAGAUACACAGACGGCAGUGGGAUGACUGGCCAACCCACACAGAUGUACACCUCCAAUCUGGCAUCCCAUAACGUUCAUAAAAUAUGUCAACACAGCCUGGAUUCUUUCCAUCAUUUAUGUUAAAACUAUUGGUGUUCAUACCAGAGAAGCAAACAUUUCUUGUUGUUAAAAUUUGUGUCCCUAUUAAAUAAAGAAAGAAAUAGAAAUGCUAUAUGCUCAGGUUGCCAGCAGCAGGAUUGGCAGACUUCUGUAUGUGCAUUUAACAACAAACACAAAAUGAGUAGAAAUCACCUUUUUUGAAAAUCUGAUCCUACGGUUAUUGUGCAUAUCGCUCUUUUAAUUUGCUGAAGGUUUUACAUUGUUUUAUUGUAGGAGGCCUCAUGAAAGAUCUAGGAGGUGUGCCACCAGUAUUGCAGUUUUAUUUAUGAGAUUUAGUAAUUUGCAAAACUAGCUAGCUCUUUGGUUUUGUAGAAUUAUCAAUGUCCUCUGACUUCGGUGGUUUGUUUCCUUGAAAAAUUCCCAGCCUAGGAAUUAGUUUCAGGUACCAUGUUUUUUAUUGGAAAGGUGUGGCUAUCCAUAGAUAAACUGUUUGUUUCUGGAACUUGUCCAACCCAUUGGAACCCAACCUUUCAAAUUAAAGUUUUCAUUGUAUGGAAUUCUGUGUCAUUCCUAAUGAGGAAUAAUUUGGCCAAGUGAACAUGAAAGUGCAUUUUAUAACACCACGUGGGAAUGUGCUACAAAAACAUUUUUACUUUACCAUCCCUUUGUCAUUUCCAUAAACGAUUACAUUGAUUCAAUGCUCUCAAUAUUCUUUCAAGUUAGCUAGCUAGCUAGCUGUGCUAUUCUAUAUGGUCAGUACACUCAAAGCCUUCUGUUCCAAAAGUGUAUUAUGGUUUUUAACACAAUAAGCUUUUAAAAUGUAUAUGUUAAUGUGUCUGAUUGGUUUCUGAAUAUCUGACAUAGCUCUUAAGUAUGACAUAUAGAAAUGGUUAUGAAUGGUAAUCUACAGAUUAAUCUGCUGUCACUCUAAGGGAUAAACUGGGUUGGACAGUUGCAAAUGGAUACAUUUGAUGAAACAGGCUCUAGUGCACAACAACUUACACUACAAUCAAUUAUCAGUCUUUAAAAUGACACAAGUCCCCUUGUGGUAUUUAUAAAAAUUAGGAUGAUUCACAAUAGGGUAUCAUUUGUAAGACACAAAUUAUUAUUGACAUCAGUGGAACAAUUCUUUCAUUCUAACUGUCCAGUCUUAUGCUAAUAAGACUAAGGGGACAAUUGAACAGGGCCCCUGUUUGGUAGUCGUAGAGCUUAAUGGAGUGGUCCAGCCAAUAUUGCAUCCAUAGUCCCACUGAUCGCAUUGGCCCAGGUGGAAGGUUGGGAGGUUGGGAAAAGGUGAUGUGCUGGUGUGCUAAUUCCCGCACUGAUACCAUAAAGAGGCCUGGUCCAAGCCUGUUGUCAUCAUGUGAUGGUAGCAGGCUGGGUCAGAAUUCCAGUGUGGUGUAGUGGUUAAGAGCAGUGAACUCAUAAUCUGGUGAACCGGGUUCAAUUCCCUGCUCCUCCACAUGCAGCUGCUGGGUGACCUUGGGCUAGUCACACUUCUCUGAAGUCUCUAAGCCUCACUCACCUCACAGAGUGUUUGUUGUGGGGGAGGAAGGGAAAGGAGAUUGUUAGCAGCUUUGAGAUUCCUUAGGGUAGUGAUAAAGCGGGAUAUCAAAUCCAAAUUCCUCCACCACCUCCUCCUCCUCCUCCUCCUCCUCUUCUUCUUCUUGCCCCGCCCCUGAAAUGCUCCUGUGGCAGCGAUUUGGGUGGGCAUGGGGCUCCCCUGCUGGCAGAUCUGAGCAUGGAGGAUUGGUGUUGGCAGGGUUGGGUUGCUCUUCUCAUGGGCAAUCCUAUUCAUGCCUACUUGGGGGUUAAUCUAGAUGAACGCACUGAGCCCAUCUUUUGAGUAAAAAUGCUUAGAAUUGCAUGGCACAGGUCUGUAAGAGUUUUACCUUCAGGUUCCUCCUUGUUUGUGCUCCCUCUAGAAUGUCUGUUAUUACCACCACAAGAAACAGGUCCUCACUUUAGGACCUAAUGCAUGUGUACAUGUCAUGUUUUUGUGCGUAUGGUAUUCCUAUUUAUUAAUGAAAUAAACCAAGAGCCACUGCUAGUGCGGGAGCUCAGUGUACAAAUCAGAGUUUUCAUUCCUGCAAGAGAUCACCAGUUCAGGGUGAGAAUAUUGGGCAGUGCAUAGAGUUGCAUUCAAUAACACUUCCUUUGUGUUAAUGUAGUUAGUGUGUAAUUGCUGUAUUUGGACUUGAGAAGAGAUUUAUUAGCAAUCCGCUGAGGACCAAUUUACAUAAUCAAACAUUUUUUCCUCUGGCCAGUGGUUGAUUGCUCCAUCAGGUGGCUCUAUUUUUCAGAGGGGUAGCUAUGCUAGUCUCCUGCAGCAGAAACAACAAAAAGUCUUGUGGUACUUCGAAGACUAACACGUUUUAUUAUGGUGGCAACUUUCAUGGUCUGGAAUCAGCUUUGUCAGAUGCAUGAAGUGCAGUCCCAGUUUGGAAGGUGUAUAUAUCAUGAGGGUGUAAAGGAUACAUGCAACACAUCAAGUAGGAAUUGAACGCAAGGAAUUGCAAAAAGUACAGUCAGUGACAAUUCAAUUAGAGCUUAAAUGUUUACAAAAUAGUAUCAGUAACCCUUUACACCACUACAGUCACUGGAGCCUGGUCCACUAGAAUCAAUGGGGCACUGCCCCAGUACCUCAGUCUGCCUUCAGCAAACCCCUGUUUUCUUACCAUCAGGGAAUGGUGGCAGUUCUGCCUGUCAUUGGCUGUGGUUCCCACCUCCUGAUGCCCCCAUUGCCUUCUGCCCCACCAAGCCUGAUGAGCAAUGAGCACCAGCCACCACUGACUACAAGUGGAAUUUACUUAACAGUGCCAGAUGUUCAUUUUAUUACCAACCUGUUUACAGUAACAGACUGGUGAUAACACAGUCAGUUAACAUUGCCAAGUAAAUCACAUCCUGAGUGCAACAGGAAACCACUGUCUUUAUUCAAACCCAAAUGGAUAAUAUUGAACUUCCUGAGGAGUUGUAAUUCAGCAGUUUCAUGGUGGAGCCUCCCUUUGAGGUUCCUUUGUUCUGGACAGUAACAACCUCACAAGUUGAAACGCUCUCCUGCUGGUAUAUUGCAAUUUCUGCUGUCAGAUUUGUGUGCAUUUAUUAUUUGAUUCAGGGGCUACUGGCAUAUACAUUUAUAGCCACGAGGAGGUUUGGGGGAAAAUUAUUUCACUGUGUACUGAAAACCUACCUGGCCAAUUAACACAGAGAUCAUAUAGCCAUUUCCCCAUGUGGACAAGUAUAGUGUCCAAUGAAUUUGCUGAGUGGCUGGACUUAGUUUUCAGCCAUGUGAAUCAGUCCUACCCAGUCACAGUGAUAAUGACAGAGAAUGGGCUUUCAGCUUAAAUCCAAGCACUCUGCCUUAAUUUUUUUAUAUAGAAAUGUGCUGCUUAAUACUGCUAUGUGAUUUGUCCAGGCAACAUUGCUACUAAUAGGUUGUGCAUAAAUUAUGAUCGCUUAAGAAUGGCGGAGGUAUUUCCAUUUUGCACCUUGGCUAUUACAGCUGCAGAGAAAAUGAACAAAAUGAGAUUACAAACUUAUAAAUACAGGGUAUGCAAUGGAGAGGGGGGAAGUCGGGUGGGGGACGUAAAAGAGAAGCAGAGAUACAACCUUAACUCCAGCCAUACAAAUGGUCCUGCUAUUAUUUACUAUGGUAACAUUAUAAAAGACUACACUGUUUGGGACCAUUAUCCUUCCAGCUCCCUUUUCAGUACAAAUCAUUAUAUUUAUUAUCUGUCGUCUUGUAUAGAGGGUCAUGAGAAAGGCCAAUCGAAAGCAGAAGAAGCCUGCUUUUCAGAAGAAAAUUGGACCUAUUUCUAAUUCUCUUUCAUUCUCAAGUACAAGGAAGUGCAGACUUUUUUUGUGUGAAAAAUUGUUUCAUGCAAGAUAAAAGUACAGAUUAUCGGUGAGAAAAUGGCACACUCUUCCUGACACCUUGCAGAUUCUUGGGAGAUAUUGCCAGUUUUCCUAAAAGAUUUUUACCUUUCAUAUCCUGAAAAAUAUGUUUCCUUAUAGGUGCUGAGCAGCAGGUGCCAGAGUUUAAGGUAUUAUUUUUGAAUAUGUUGUAUAUAAGGGAUAUCAAUGACUCGGCUGUAUGUUUUAACAAUGUAGUCCCUUAAAGUAAAUACCAUGUUGUAUAUCAUGGAGGAAAUGGAUGUUUUUUUGCAAAUGUGUGCCCAGCAUCAAGGUUCAGUUUGUAGGCUUCUGUCUGCUUUUGUGCAUAUGCAAAUAAAUGAAAUUAAAAUAUGGAUCUUGCCUUUUUGCAUUGCAUGCUUUCCGCCACUUUCUGCACAGUUACAAUUAGCUUGGCCACCAGAGGGUCUCUGAGAAAAGAAUGGUCAUGGUAGGCCAAGGCAUUCAUACACACACCAAUUCCCCAGGUACUCUGCCACUCAUCUUACUGUCACUGCUGCCCAUCCUUCCACAUUUUGUAUUUGAGAAGCAACGGUGGGCAGCGGGGUCAACAGUCAAAAGCUGUAUAUGUGUGUGUAGAAACCUCUGAUGUGGCUGAAAUGUAGCCCAUUGCACUUUUUCAUUUGGCCACGCCUACUGCUGGCAUGUGGCCUCUGGAGCAUUGCCCACAAGGGAACACAGCCCUCAGGUUAAUGAAAAUUUCCCACACUGCUCUUUCUUUCCCACAUUGCCUUCCAUGCACAGUUCCCCACGUAGGUGCUGCCACAUUGAAGACAUGACAUUGUGUAGAAUAGACCUCCUGAUAAGAUGGCGACCCUACUGGCAACAGGCCCAAGGGGGGGGCUGGUUUUUAAGCUCCCUGACUCAGCCAGGCACUGAUGUAAGACCCUGCAAGGGUACGUCUUUCUUUGAAGUGUAGCCUUAGGAGAGGCCAUAGCUCAUUAGCAGAGUGUCUGCUUUGCAUGCAAAAGGUCCAGUGUCUCCAGGUAAGGCUGGGAAAAAUUCUUGCCUGAAAUCCCACAGAACCACGGCUGGGCAGUGUACAUAGUACUAAGCAAGAUGGACCAAUGGUCUGACUCAGUGUUAGGCAACUUCCCAUGUUUCUCUCUUUAGUCAGGGAGGAAGGCACAGCUCUUCCAGUGCUCAGCUGUCUCAGGAUCAGCAGCCCAGGGAGGUGGCAAAAGCAAACAUCUCAAGGGCUGUGGCAUCUUAGAGCUAAAUACACUUCAUGUAACAUGAGCACGUAUAUUCAGAUAGGUGAAUGACAUAUCUCACAAGUGUCCCAGAAAAAAUGGGACAUCCCGUUUUUCCCCGUGAGAGCAUGGCGGCCAUUAGAGUUGUUGUGAUCUUCCACAAUUUUGCGCCAAGAUCUUGCCCAGAAAAAAGUGCUUUUGGGGGGCCUGCGAUCUCAUGUGGUAUUCUAUAACACCUGUUUUUGGGCGCCAUGAGAGCAUGGCCCUGAAAAGGUGUGUCUUUUGGUUUCCAUGAUCUCACACAGAUCACGUGACUCAACAUGUUGGAUGGCAUGGAAUGAUGUGAGUCUAUGCAGGGCAAUGCAAAGCUGGUAAUAGGCCCAGGCCAGAUGGGAAAUGUAGUCCCCACUUCAAUAAUAUUUACGAAAGGGUCCCUCUUUGCCUCUAGCAGGGGGACUUGGAGUAGACCCCAUCAAAGUCCGAUUGGCCCCUCUGGCCCCAUUGCUUUGGCUUGGUUUUUUGCAAGCUCAGUGGUACUAGCACGCACAGGCCUGCAGCCAUAGGAGAGGUGGUAGGUUACCACUAUUAUGACUUACCAUGUCACCAUCACCUACCCCGACAGAUUGCUUCAGUGCAGCUGCCCCAUGCAAUAAGCCAAAAUCCUGCUAUGUACCUUGCUUAACUACAAACGUUUGUUGCCGCAUGACUUCAGUGCUUAUGUAGGGACAAAUGCCACCUCCUCUUAACUGGUAAUGCAUCAUUCCAAAAUCUAGACAAGACGUAUAGGACAGCCCUCACCUAAGCCAAUGGCCCGGAGCAACUUGUAUUUUUUCCCCCACGAAGAGGGAAGCAAUUUAUUAAAAACAUGUUUUGGAAGUAUGAUGAGUCCAUAUCAGUGCUGGCGGUAUGCUCCCAUUAUCAGCUAGACAACUUUUGUUAAUUCUGUAAAUAUUUCCAGCAUUGUAAACACUGGGCAGUGUAGUGGCUGUUAAUACAAAGUAGGCAAAUUGUCUGAUGAAUUCAUGUAUAAAGAGACAAGACUCUGGGAUCAGAAGUUUGCUGAUAAUUCAAACAAAGCUCUGAGUUGACUUGAUUGCCAACAGUUUUUGAGAAAUAUCCAUAGGACCAUAAAGUGAUAAAUUCUUCCAUUAGUUCAUAUGUGGCACUGACAGUUUACUGACCUGAAUUUUAUAUUAAGAAAGUGGAGUUUCCAUAGCUUUCCAUAGCUUUUUCAUUGUUGUUCAUGCAUGUUCAAAAUCAGCUUAUAUAUUAACACAAAACGCUCCAUUCUAAAAGAUUUUACAUGUGGUGUGUGCAUACCUGGAGCUUUAUUUAAUUGAGAGGCACAACUGAUUGUCCACAUCACUUAAAACAGGGGUCAAAUGUGGUCUUCCAGGCCUCUAUAUUUGGCCCAAGACUCUCCCUAGUUCACACACCCUCCCACAGGCCACACCUUUUGCCUAAAUGGAAUGAAAUCUAUGAUAAUGCCUCUUGCUUACAUGUAAAGAUAAUAGGAAAUUUAUUUCUAGUUUUAACAUGCCAUAAGAAGACUGACUUACUUGUUGCAAGUUUAUUGCUGGUUGAAAAGUAUGUAUUUGUGCCUCUGUUGAGAUACGUUAUUUCUCAGGUCACAAAUUCAGCUAUUACUCUGAUUUUAGCUGAGGAUGGGUAGCACAUACAGCUAAUUUGCAUAGUUAGACUUUAUAACUGCAUUUGAAUUUGUCUUUAUUUUCCUAAUCUUAGUCCCAAAAAGUGAUCAAAUGCAGAAGCAGUUUUCUGUAGGGCACAGCAUUUAGUUAUUUAUUAUAUAGUAAAUAAAGGCUAUUUAUUAUUCAAAAUGUCUUUCUGUCCCACUCUUCUUCCAUUAGAAAACUCAAAGCAGCCAAUAGCAGGAACAUAAAUAAGAAUAAUAUUCAAGCAGUACUAUAUAAUAAAAUCAGCAGCCAGAACAGACAACAGCUGUGAAGAAUAUCCAGCUCAUAAGCGCUAAAACAAAACAGAAAAACCUCCAUAAAUCCCAACACCCUGUUCCCUGCCUUGCUACUGGACCAUGAAGGAGGAGAAGGCAUUAGAAGCUAAGGCUUCAGCAGCAGUCUUGCUAGACAGGUGGUGGGAGACUGCCAUCCAAGACCAGGCACCUGUUCCGGUGCUGCGUAUCCUCCACGCCCCUUUCCCCUCCCCCAGUCACCCCACCCACGUGGAAGCAGAUCUCAAUGUCUGUAAUUGUCAGCAUGGGUUCCUGCUAAAAGCAAAAAUUGCAGGAAUAGGUGGCAGAUCAAGUGUUUCAAAUAGUAACCCUGGAAAACCACUCAGACCAGCAAGGAGGUUACUAAGGCUGUACUAAAGCACAUCUGUCAGGAACAGAGAUGGAUGAAUCUGUUCAUUUCAGAUCUCUGUUUUCUUGUUCCCCAACACUUAAAUUCAAGUUCUCUACAUUUCUGCAGCAAUCUGUGAUUAAAAAAGAAGAAGAAUUACAAUAAAAAAGCUCAGGAGAAUCUGCUGGUAUUUUAGUGCAACUUUCUCCCACUAAACAUUUUUUGUUUUGUUUUGACAGAUACACACAUUUUUGCAAGCAAUUCCCACCACCUCCACCACCAUAAUGUAUUUUUGUAUGUGGUGUUUACUAAUAUAUGCAUUCAUGCACACACUUUAAUAAAUGCAUUAUUGUCCUUGUUAUUCAGCUGGAGAACUGCAUUGCAAAAUUUGUAUAACAGUGAAACUGUAUGGAUGAGUGGGUUUCACUUUGUGUACUGUUUCAGAUAAUGUGAAUUAGGUAGGUUCACCUUUAAAAGCGAACUGAAUCAAAUUUCUCCCCCAUUCCUAAUCAGUAAAGAAGAAUAUUAACACAAUGCAGGCGAUUCAAGUAAUCAUGUUCCGAGCAUGCGUCAGCUGCAACGAUCAGAUUUGCCAGCUUGGGUUGAUUAAUGCCAAUUAUACCAGCGUGAAAUCAGGACAUCAGCUUGAAAGAUAUCAUAUUAUUAAUCACAAACAGUACAAGGGUGCCCAACUUUGAAUAAAAAAAAAAAAUACAUCGCUUGUAAACUUUGUCAGUAUCACUGUUUAGAACUGGGCUUUAACAAGCUCCCCAUUCCUUCUCUCCAUCAUAUAUUAACCCGCUCCCCAUUCCUUCUCUCCAUCAUAUAUUGUUCGUAUCGUACACCAGGAGCAAACAAUGCAGAUGGGGAACUGACAGAAAAGCCUUUUAAUAAUUAAAACUUUGGAUGCCUAAUAGCUCCUUUCAUCAGAGAAUCUCAAAAGAGUUUCACAAACAUUAAUUAAUUAAAUAAGCCCCCGAACUGCCUUGUGAAGUUGGCAGGUGGUAUUUUACCUCAUUUUGGAAGAAAGUAAAUUUGACAUGGGGGCACACAGAAGCUGUGCCAUAGCAGCUAGAGACAAAACCCUAUUAUCCUGCCGUAACAAUAUGCAUGAAAGUGUGCUUGUUAGAACUCCAGGGCAGACCUGCCCAUCUUGUGAUGUACUGAGCUGAAGGCAGCCCAGCUGCUUUGCACUGCUUCUUCUUAACCCUGUUUUCUUCAGCUCUGUGCAACCAGCAAAACCAGAAGCUUGAUCAAAAUCCUAGUGGGACACCACUGGAUGUGUUAACUCAGCUGCAUCCAACCUUUGCUUCUGCAAGACUUCCCUUUGCCAGAUUUUGCUUAGUUUCUUGCUUCGUGAUUUUCUGCUGAAUUCUGUUUCUGUUGAAUUUCUGUUGAAUUGUCAUAGCAUCAACACAAGUAAACUACGGUUUAGCACUCAAGCCCUGCUUUGUAGGCUUUUCAUAGUCAUCUGGUCGCCAUGAGAACAGAAUGAUGGACCAGAUGGGGCUUUGGUCUUAUUUCUGCUAGCCCUGACAUCUCGCCAGGCCACACCCUUCAUUGGUCCUGAGUACUUUUGCCUGACUGGGAUGCAUCCUCAAACUUAACAAUGCCUCUUACUUUUCUGGAUGGAGAAUAUGUGUUUUGUAGAUGUAGAAAGAAAUCGUUGGCUACCUGGAAUACAGCCUACUGUGCAAAGAGACACAUCCAUUGUUCCACCCGCUUUUUGCCUCUGGUUCCACCCACUGUGUGUGGCCCCCAGAAACCUGCCUGGGGGGAAUUUGGCCCUUGGGGUUUUAAGUGCCUCCUACCCCUGCCCUAGUAAUGCUCUACAUUUGGAAAGGCAAUGCACAAUGCCCUAAGAGCCUACCCAGCUAAGCAUAGUUUCCAAAUCGGUCAUGGGAUGGCAGCCAGAAGACAACCCACUUGGCCAAUCCUGCUCCAGAUAGCUGUAUAGCUAACAAAAUCCAGGCAGCUGACCCGCAUUGGCUUUCAAAGGCUCAAUAUAAGAGAACUGGAUUUUGAAUAAGUCUCUGAAUAAAGUACGCUCAGAGUGCAAAAAAAUGUAAUUCUGUCAAUAAAUAGCCAAAGUAUGUAAGGGAGACGUGUGCUCCCUGAAUAGACUGGAAACAUUUUGCAGGAGUCAUCUGCCUUUAAAUCAUCAGCCUUUACUGAUAAACAGUUCAAUAGAAAUCAAGCAACAUUUAAAUCAGAUAUGAAGUAUCCAGUCAGAAAGAAAUGCUGUUAUAAUGACUCCUUCUGUGCUUUGUAACUUUUCCAGGCUCUCCCAUGGUCUCAGACAUUAUGUUGGCCUUCAGUGCGAUAUGGCACAAAAAGCAGAGUUAUAUCAUAACUCAUCAAAGGUCUAUGAAAAUUCAUUUGGAUCUGCCACCAGCUAUCAAUUUAGACAAGAAGUGUAUCUGAUUCAGCUUAAUUAGAGUGGACGAAAGCGUAGAAAACAGGUCAUUGUCCGCUGUCUUUGCAAAUCAGGAGAAAGGGAGGGGGGGCCACCCAAAACAGAACCCUGUAUUCUGAAGCAUUUAGAGAUAACUUAGUGCAUCUUCAGUCAUGAGACAGCUCUGUGAAGUUUGACAAGGCAUGCCGCUUCUUCAACAAAUCAGCAAAACAUGAUAUAAUCUUAGCUGUGUGUGUUAUACCAGGUACCUGAUCUGCAGGUGUACAAGGCAUGGAAAAUGCUUAAUUCUCUACUCUGUUUAUCAAGGAAGUUGGCAGAGACCAAUUAAUCUAUAUAGUCAUUCUUGCACAGGUGUACUGCCAUAAUAUUUAGACAGACUCAAUUUAUAUUAAAGGUAAAGGGACUCCUGAUUGUUAGGUCCAGUUGCGGAUGACUCUGGGGUUGUGACGCUCAUCUCGCUUUACUGGCCGAGGGAGCCGGCGUACAGCUUCCGGGUCAUAUGGCCAGCAUGACUAAGCUGCUUCUGGCAAACCAGAGCAGCGCACGGAAACGCCGUUUACCUUCCCACCGGAGUGGUACCUAUUUAUCUACUUGCACUUUGACGUGCUUUAGAACUGCUAGGUUGGCAGGAGCAGGCACCGAGCAACGGGAGCUCACCCUGUCACAGGGAUUCGAACUGCCGACCUUCUGAUCAGUAAGCCUUAGGUUCUGUGAUUUAACCCACAGCAGCAUUAAAGCAAAAUUAGAUUUCUUCAGUCAAGUAUUCCAAAGGUAGAAAUGGGAAGACAAUGAAACACUGUAGAUAUCGAUGUAAAUUGCAUUGUGAUUCCUUCCAGAAAAACAAAAACAAAAAUGGAGAAAACAUGUGGCCUAAGGCCAGUGAUAAUAAAAACCAUGCAAGGGACUUAGGGCCUCAUGAAAGAUGCUAGAAGAACUAAUACUUGCAGAAAUAUUAGCCAAGGACAGGACUGAAUUCUUUGAGAAGGAGAUUGUCAGGUAGUGAAUCUGUUUCUCUCUCUCUCUCUCUCUCUCUCUCACACACACACACACACACACACGUAAAUACCUCUUGAGAAGCUGCUCCACACUUGGAAGUGAAGGGUGGGCCAAGGAGCACAAUUCCACUCCCCUGCCCACAAGCUCCCCUCUGCAUGGACAGACAUAAGAAGGGCCUGCUGGAUCAGGCCAGUGGCCCAUCUAGCUCAGCAUCCUGUUUUCACAGUGGCCAGCCAGAUGCCCAUGGAGAGGGAGCCCACCACCAGGUUUAAAGCACAACAACACUCUACUGUGGUUUCUAGCAACUGGUAUUCAGAACCAUGGAGGCAAAAGAUAACCACCAUGAGAAAUAGCCACUGAUAGCCUUACUGUCCAUGAAUUCGUCCAAUCCUCUUUUAAAGGCAUCCAAGUUGAUGGUGCAGGAGGAGACUCUUGAGAGCCCCAUGGACUGCAAGAAGAUCAAACCUAUCCAUUCAUCAGGAAAUCAGCCCUGAGUGCUCACUGGAAGGACAGAUCCUGAAGCUGAGACUCCAAUACUUUGGCCACCUCACGAGAAGAGAAGACUCCCUGAAAAAGACCCUGACAUUGGAAAAGAUUUGAGGGCAUAAGGAGACGACAAAGGACAAGAUGGUUGGACAGUGUUCUUGAAGCUACCAGCACGAGUUUGACCAAACUGCGGGAGGCAGUGGAAGACAGGAGUGCCUGGCGUGCUCUGGUCCAUGGGGUCACGAAGAGCCGGACACGACUAAACGACUAAACAACAACAACAAAGCUGAUGGCCAUCAUUGCCUCAUGUGGCAGUAAUAUAGAUAUAGAUGGGGUGGGUUGGAGUAACUGGAAUCCUGAAGAGAAGCAUGCCACACCACAUCAUUUUGUUGCUGGGCCUCACUUGUAUUAUUUCAAAUUUAAAUGUGAGCAAACACUGCACACCAGCCUCUGUGUGUGAAGCAUGCUGUUACGGAAAUCUUUCCUCAAAGAUUUAAAGACAAUCCUCCUGCUUUCUUCCAUAUUCACAGUAAUAUGUAAUCCUGUUAUUAUUUCAUCUAGGCCAUUAUUCAGAACAGAACAACACAGUUGUUGAUGAUGCCUGCUUAAAGGUGACUUUCAUUUUCACAUUGACUUCACUCUGGACAUGUUUGGAGGUCCAUUCGGUGAAAUAAAAUUGCUUUGCAAUUAUUUUUACUUAGAGAAACAUGACAGGUCGAAUUUUUAUGUUAAUUAAUCUCUGUUAUUAUUGUGUGACUGCAAAUCAUAAAUUUCCUUGCAAUCCAGCAUUAAUACAUUCUAUAAAUUAUUGUAAUUUCUCCUAUCCCUACCAUGGACUUGGAAAUAGUUAACUUCGGGUGGGUAUCUAUUUGUUUACCCUAAUGCCUUAUGAAGUGUGGAUUUGGAGGAAAUACUGUCUCUGGCAAUAGUUGCCAUCAGAAAAGAUAAGGCACAACUCUCUGAAUUCCCCUUACCCAAGUUAUGCUCUUAUUGUAAAUUUGACACUGUGUAAUCUUUGUGGUCAGGAGCUAGAAAACAUGCAAGGCUUAACAUAUCAUUUUGGUUUUAGACUUGCACUCAAAUUUGAUAUUUUUGUUAUUUCCUUGCCUAAGUACUAUUAAUUAUUUUUGUUUUGUACAUACCCCAAAGCAGCAGUUUAAGGCAGCUUUCACUGACUUGGUGUCCUCUAGAGCAGUCAGGGGCUGAUGUGACUUGCAGUGCAAACUGACUGGAGGGCAGCAGGUUAGAAAAGGCUGCCCUAGGAUGAAGCUAGAUGUGAUGGUCAACCACUGAAAAUAGACUUCCUCCAUUCACCAGAGCAUGCAGACAGGCUUCUCAAAGUUGUCGUCGUGUUUUCGUCCCCCUGCUCUGCAUAACAGGCUGCUGCUGCUGGCAGGAAAAAAGUGGAUAUUUACGGCAUAUUCAGAGCACAUUCUUCCCACUGCCCCCAAGAAUUCUGGGAACUGUAGUUCAUCCCUUACAGACCUACAAUUUGCAGCAUGUUGAACAAACUACAGUUCCCAGGAUUCUUUGAGGGGUUGUAUGCUUUGAAUGUACUUUGAAAACUGGGGUGUACACAGCCUGCAAAACCCCCACUAGACUCGUCCAGGGUGUCGGUAGACUCACUCAGAUAGUGAUGCCCGUGGAAGGGGUCUUACCCACUGGCCCUCAAAGACCUGGAGUUGAUACUAUUUGUACUGGUGCUGGGUCCACAUUUUCAGCAGAACGAUGUGUUAGCAUGCUGAGGUGGUGAACAGCGCCACUGUAGGUGAAAUGCAGGUGACCUUUUUCUUUUUUAAAAAAAAGAAAGAAAAAAAUAGCACAUGAAAGAAAAAAGGUUAUCUCCCAGCUCUUUCUUUGCUGCUAUGCUGAUUGUCUAUUUCCAGGGCGUUUUUAUCAAGGCAGGGAGCAGUUUUUCAAAAUAAAUAAAUAAAUAAAUAAAUGUGAUCCCUACCUGUAGUCUGAAGAGCCAGCUUCUGUUCCAACACUAUUCAAGGUGAACUGGUUGGUCCUUCUAUUAGACACCAUGAAGCAGACAACAUGGAGGGAGGCACACAACAUGGACUAGUCUUGGGUGUUAUUAAAAUAGUUUACUGCUGGUGAGGAGGAGAUGAAGUGGUCUGGUGCCCUUUGGAUUUGGGGCCAGACCUGAAGACAGAGAAGGGGCAAGUUAAAGAGACAUCAAGUGCUAUGGAGCUCCCUCUUGUUCCUUCAUCUUGUUUAGUUUUUUCACCAGUCAAGUUGGUUUGCCAGAAAGCUGGGUUUCUCAUAGUAAAUACUGUUUCACAAGAUCGGUCAUACUGCUAUAAAUUCUCAAUGCAAAUCUUCCACAGUUAUGUGACUUUUUUGGGGGGGAUGAUACAAUUCCAUUAUGUAUUUUGAAGACUAUUUGAGUUUCUGGGGCUCCUACCCCCACCUUGAAUGCUGGGAGGCUGCACUCCAGCCAGGCCUGCCUUAAUGCAUUUCCGAGUGCUGUGAAUGGGUCUUUUGGCUAAAGUCCAGCUCCACUUUUUUAUUUAAUAAAUAUUUUUAAAUAAUCAUUUUUCAUUUCUAAUUUAGCUCUCAGUGCAAAAUGAAGGUCUCACGCUCUAGGGUGGGUGUCAGCGAAGGGAUAAUGUUUGUGGCACAGCCGUAUACAAGGCAAAGAAAUGGCUUUUGUAGGGUGAUUAAAUGCUGAAGUGAAGCUGAGGUGUUUGAUAACCACAGAAGCCAUUUAUUGUGUGUAUACUCCAGUGCCACGAACAUCAUUUCUAUUAUACAACAAGACAAAGGAAUAUUCAACAAACCAUAACGAGGAAAGAAUGAGAUUGUUUUUUUCUUUUUCCUUUCUCCCUCCCUCACCCCCAUGGAAGUUUUAAAGUUUUCAGCUGCUGCUCCCUCAGAUUAGUCUUCUAUUCAUGUCCCAUUAGGGGUGGAGCUUAAGCCAAUCAAACAGGGGCGGCCUCUCUGGAAAACGAGAAUGGUGCCUGUGGAAGUGCUUAUCACUAGCGGUGUCAAUAUGUAUUUUCUGAAAAGGUAAUGCUGAUUCUUUCCCCCACUAUGCUGUGAUGGUUGGGGAAAGUGCCUUCUCUAGCUGUAUAAUGUGCUGUAACUGUUCCUCUUUGAUAGAGGAAGACACCAAGUCAUAACAUCUGGAGAGGGCGACUUUCGAUAUCUCUGUGUGCUGCUGCUUCUGUUACACAUUACUGCUCAGGAGGAUCACACUAGUCUCCUUCAUUAUAAGAGCAUUUUUAAUUUUGUUUUUAAAUAAUGAGGAACACAUUCAGGAAGGGGGGCAAAAUGGAGGCUUUGCAGAAUAAGCGUCUGCGAGAAAGAAAUCUGUUUUGUUCCAAAUUCACAGUGAAGAGUGGCAAAUAAUGAUAAUAAUAAUCGCAACUGAAUGUGUGGCUGCUGUUCUUUAAGCUUCUGAGUGAUGCCUUCUGUUAAGAUUCUCACAUUGUAUGACCGUACCCAAAAAGCCUGUGUGGUGUGGCAGAUGAGAACCUAGUAUGGUUGUACAGACUGUGAUAUUUGUUCUGGUUCUGUAAUUGCAAAUUUUCUUCUUUGGUACUUAUUUGUAUGGACAUGCAGGAUUCAGUUUUGUGCACUUUAUUAUUUAUCUAUUAAUAAUUGCAUACAAGGAGCUCAAGGAGGCAUACAUGACCACUCACCCUCCCAUUUGACCAUUUCAACAACCCUGAGUUAGACUGAGAGGCAGUGAGUGGCCCAAGGUCACCCAGUGAAUUUCACGGCUGUGUGAGGAUUUGAGCCCUGGACACCCAGGUCCUAGUCCAACACUCUAACCACUAUAUAAUAUUGUACACUAAACUCUAGCAACUAGACUACUUCCUCACAAUGAACAUUAGUGAUAUAGUGUUACUCCUAGCAAUAUACAAAGUGCAUUGACCAAGACCUCUUGUAGAUAUAAAUGUUUAUGUUUGUUCUGAGUCUCACUUGGGCUUCCAGUGAAGCCCUUCUACUCUGUGAGGGUCAAGCUCUGUAACCUGAAAGUUCAGCAUAACCAAAAGAUGAGGGAGGAGAGCAGUUCCUGAAACAGCAAUGUAGUAAUUGGUAAAUAAUAGAGUUAAAUAUUGUCUCCAGUUAGUAUGGGUUGAAGCUAAGACUCUACUCUUUGUUAUUCGGGUUACUUUCAUUUUCUUAUGUAAUUGUACGUCAGCCUGUUCACCAAUAAACACAUUCUUGUUUUGGGCCUACAAAAUAAUCUGAAACCUUGCCUUGUGUGAAAUAAGAACUUAACAGACAGGCUGGGCCAAACCUGGUAAGUCUUUCUGUCUUGACAUUUUCAUGGACAGGAACUUUUCAGGGGUACUGAACUAGAUUUGUUGUUCCUUUUCAUUCCCAGCUGCCUCCACUGAUGAAGAUAAUGUGUUUUUUGCAUUGUCUUAAGAAAACAGCCAAGGUCAGACUUUGGGAAACCAGUGGUAGGAAGGUGCAUUCCCAUUUCAUUUUCAAACCAUUUUGUUGAAUAAUAUUUAUGCUGCAAAAGAGACAGUGGCAGAAGAUUCAAGAUCUAUUGCUGCCAGAUUUAAUAGCCUACAUAGGUGGAUGUGGUCCAUCAGUACAAGCUUUCCUAACUCCUAGCAAUCUGCACAAAGUUUAGAGUAAUGCAUCAUUAACACCAUUAAUUUCACUUGUUCCUAUUUUAUAUAAUUAUUCAUCUCUAGAAGGAUUCCACAAACGUUCAGCUCUACAAUACAAAAUGCCACUGUUUACUUUGCUUAGCUUGCUGAACCUGAUCAUAUGUUUACACACAGAAAGACAUUUCCUCCAUAACAUGAAGUCUGCAGCCAAACUUGGUGAUUGGUGGUUUUCUUAACAUAUUUGAGAAGACAGGGUGUUUUAUGGUAACUUUUGGCAUAGGUUCUCAGCCCACAAAUUAGUAAUUAGGGUAAACAGAUCUGAUCAAAAUUAACUACUUGAUGGGAAAGGUAGCUUUUGGCCUAUCAAGAAAGUACGAAGUGCCAUUUGACGCUGAGUGGAUAAUAUUGCAAGUGGCAUCCUUCCCUCCUGGCUCACAGUCUUCCUAGGAACAUUUGUCUUGCUAGUUAUUGAAACACUAUGAUUUUUAAUGCUGGGGGGGGGGGGAAUGUCUUAGUAUAAACCAGGAGGCAGUUGAGCAAUCAAGCACAAAAAUGAUUUCUUGUACAAACAGCAGAGUGGCUAACCAGAAACUAUGUAGUUGAUACCUUUCUAAAUUCAAAUUAAACUUCUAAAACUUACAGAGCAACUGGCGUCAAUGAAAAUGAGCUGUAAUUUGAAACCUUUCCCCCCAAAGCUAUCUGAAUUUUUGAUAACUCUGUGUAGCCUUUGGAGUAGCACACACUGCCAUAGAGAUAGCAGUGAGUGUGUCUCUGCCUCCAACCCACCCACAGCAGAAGUUCUGGUUUAAAGGAGUUCAGGGUGUGCCCACUUACCUAUCUGAACUCUUCUGUCCUGAACACUUCAGUAUCCAAACAGAAGCGCGAAACACUUUCCAGGAGAUGCAAGGGAAGGGGAAGCACAAGUGACAUCUACUGCGGUGUAGAAAGUUAUAUUGAUGAAGACUUUCCAUGAGUAGAUCUACACUCCAGAUAGUUUGUGAAGUCACAGAAGUGUCGUAAGUUUGACAUCACAGGUUAUUUUACGAAUAGAGAAAGAGCAAGGUUGCGCCUCCCUUUCAUACCUUCUAAGGUGUGAUAACCUUGGGAAACUGUGUACAGUUCGGAUCACCACAUCCCAAAAAGGACAUAUUGCUAAGAAAGCUUCCAGAAAGGGCAACCAAAAUGAUCAGUGGAUGGAGAAAAUCCUGUAUGAGGAAAGGAUAUGCCAUUUGGAACUUUUUUGGUCCCUUCCAAUUCUACAAUUCUAUAAUUCUGUUAGUAAAGAGGGAUGUGAUAUAAAUGUAUGAAAUUCUGCAUUAUGUGUAGAAACCUGGUGCAUGGGGAUUCAUCCAGUGCAACUGGAUGUUGGGAGCUUCAGAACAGACAAAGGGAAGUACGUCUUUGCACAGCACAGAAACUGUAGAAUUCAUUUCCACAAGAUGUGGUGAUGGCAAACAACCUGGACAGUUUCAUGAAGGAUAUUGAACAAAUUCAUGGACUGUGUGGCUAUUGAUGGCUACUUAUAUAACUACUUCCCCUGUUAGAGGCAGGAGUGAGAGUGCUCUGUGGAACCAGUGGAAGCAAAAGUGGCUUGCCAUGUGGGAUGAAUCAAUAAUGCGAAGUUUCCAGCAGUUGCAUUGCUGGCACUUCCCAGAAUGUGAUGACGGUGCUGAGCAAGCCAGUAGCAAAGUCAGAGUUUUGCUGAAGCACCAGUGGAGCCAAUCUAGUGCUCCCAUUGGUCCACUGCACAGCCCUUCCCUCAUUACUGGCCCUCCUCUCCUCAUCCCAGUGAGCGGCAGUGAUUAUGCCGCCAAGAAGAUAGCAUUGUGGCACCAUGCUUGUGCUGUCUUUCAGUGGCACCACUCUUGUGCUCAUGUUUUUCUUGUGAAUUUUCUAUAUGUAUCAUAGCUGUCAACGUUUCCCUUUUUAAAGGGAAAUUCCCUUAUUCCAAAUAGGAUUCCUCGCAAGAAAAGGGAAAAGUUGACAACUAUAAUAUGUAUCUGGUUGGCUGCUUUUGGAAACAGAAUGCUGGACUAGAUUUGCCAUUCAAGUGAUCCAGCAGGGCUCUUCUUACGGUCUAUGUUUUUAAAAUAAUGGUCUAAUUGAAUGGAUAUGAUGCAAAAAGGCAGGGAGGGGAAAAGAAAAUAAGCAAAUCCAGGUACCAUGGGGCAAUUCUGGAAAGAAGGAGCAAAGUAGCAUUUGAUCCUACACAGGCUGAUGUUGCAGGUGGUGGCAAGGGGCUCAGUGUCUUACCUAUUCCUAUGAAGGAGCCAGGUAGAAUGGCUGCUGAUGGAGACUGUUCUUGAGGCAAGGAGCAUGUUGAACAUAAGUUCCAAGUAAGUCAUUUGAUUGAACUGCAAAAGCAGAAGAUAACUGAAAGGGGACUAGGGAUGGAGAGAAGUUCAGUUUGCUUCCAUUUUAAUGCGAACCCACCAAAACAAACUAUCGUUCAGCAUUUGCACUUCCCAAAAUUUUGUGAUGCAAGUUCUUCAGCCAAAAGAAUGUGUAAAAAAAAAGUAUAGAUUAGGAGAAACUGGGCAUAAAAAUUGAAACAUUAUUGUAAAUAUCAUACAAAACUGCAUUGUGUUAGGGAAAAUCCUUGCAAAAAUGUGCAUAUUAAGCACCAAAACACAUGACAUACGUGGGAGGAAAGGGAAUGUUGCACAGUAAUUACCCAAGUAACUACCAUUUCCAAGUAGCAAUGCAAGGGUAUGUGUGUAAAAAGAAAAAGAUUGACUCAAUUUAGAACACCUGGUUAGAAGUGAUUUCUUAUUCAGACCUUCACAGACAGCACUUGCAAUUGGCAAUGGCAAUCCAAGUAGGGUGGGGUUCAACUGUCUCUAAUCAGUACUGGUUGCACAGGUGUAAGCGCACGCCUGUAACAGGAUCAGGGUGAAAGUGAUUAAGACAAAGGUGCCAGUAACGCAAUAAAAUGACUUGUGCAGGUGGCAACGCACAGGUUAUUCGGACCAUGGUCUUCUUUGUUUCUCUCUCAGACGUUUUUCUUUCCUUUAGGGCUUACUAGAAAUUUGCAGGUGACGAGAGAAAGCUUCAUUCUGAUAAAAGAAUAGGCCAGCUUACUGAUUGCAGAAAAUUACACGAAGUUUUUUUUUUUUUUAAUCAAAGUCUCUGUGGUCUGCGGUCUGAUUUUCUAGGCCAGAUGUCAAAUGUUUUUCACUGAUGUCGAUGUUGAAGUAAUCAGUAAGCCAAUUCCAAGAAUGAGUAAGUGAGACUGUAAUAACAUUUCACUUCAGUAUUACAAAAGUCUUUUUUUAAAAAAAAAAUCCCCCCAGCUAUGAACAAAGUAACAGGACCCCUCAGAUUCAAUAUAAUUACACAAACCAUUACUUUGAAAUUUGUGAGACAUUUUUAUGUGUGGUCAAUUGCUAUAUACAUAUAGAUGGAAGGCCGUAGCAGAAAAAAUAUAUAUAUGCAAAAAUACAUUUACAAAGUUUCAUAUUUUUAAACAUUUACAUUUAAUUUAAAACAUAAUUGCAUUUUUAGUAUUUAAUCUAUUUUAUGAAGUUUAUCUUUGCUGCUACAAUAUUAAGCAGCAAUUGAAAAAGGGAAGGAUUCACCAGAAGAAAAGGCUUCAGUCUGAAGGUUAAAAUGGAGACAGAGAAGGAUUGAUGGAUGAUGAGCCAUUGUGAAUCAUUCCAGCUGAUCAUGAAGAGCCUGUUGUCAUUUAACAUGGAAGAACCAUGUUUUUGCACAUUUUGUCGGAUUCUUCUAAAUACCUUGCUUGCACAGACAUAUCAUAUGUGUUAACAGAUACACUGUUGUGUCAUUCUCAUUAAAUAUUUUGUGCACAAGGACACAAACAAAAAGCAGUAGUGUACAGUGGGGAGGUGCAUUGCUCAAUUUCCUUCUGAGCACGGAAUGUCCCUGCUGGUUCUUGAGAAGGGGAGUGGUAAGAUGUGGGGAGCUCAAAGAGGUAUGGUCACUAUGUUCCUGCUCCUAUGUCCAUGCUGAACUUGUCACCUGUAUCCCUCUCUGAAACUGGAAGCAGCUGCCCUUCAGCUACACCACCCCACCAACUGCUACUGGCAAAAAGAGCCCAGGACAAAGCAAAAUGGGGGUGAAGUUGUGUGGAGCACUGACUGCACUUCUGGAAAUGAAUAUUACCCAGAUUUUCUCUCCCCCCCCCAACUGCACUGGUUACCAGUUCAUUUCUAGGCUCAGUUCAAGGUGCCAGCUUUGACCUUUAAAGCGGCAGGUAUAAGCAUUGUGGUGCCAUCCAGAGGCUGUUAGGCUCCAACUCCCAUCAUCUCCAGCCAGCAUGACAAAUAGUCAAGUUUGAUGGGUGCUGGAGUCCAGCAACAUCUGAACAGCACCACAAUAGAUGGCUACCCUUGCCCUGAACAGACUAAUUUCAGUGUAUCUGUGCAAUCUCCUCCUUCCAAGUACGGUUUUCAGGGGUGACAACAGGAACUCGCUGUAUGUGGAUUCAGCCCUCUGCCUCGAAUACAGUUUUGCCCACACUUUGUUUUGGAUGCAGAUAUAUGUUGUCUUAUGUGAAUCAGGUGCUACAUCCAAACAAUAAGGUGCCUGAUGAAAUCGGGAAACUUUCCCCAGAGUUCUCUAUCUACACUCAAAUGGAGUUAAGCUGUUUCCCCCCCCUGCCUGCCACACAGCUGUUCAAGAGACAAGAGCCCUGCUGUUGUCCAAUGCUAACUCUACAACUAUGCAAAAACCACACGUUUCAUAAGUUGUAAGCCAGCUAUGUUACUAUAGGUCUUUCAUCCACCGACCUUAAACUGGCAGUAUGGCACUCUCAAUACAAGACCAGGUGCGGCAUUUCAGAAGGCAGAGGGGUGGAUGUUCAAAACGGAUUUAAUAUUCACAACUGCCAAGAUUCAGAUGCCCAUGUUGGGAUAAAUGCACCAUCAAAUUGUGAAGAGGCAAGCAGUGUAUCCUAAGAAUGAUUUAUUAUUUAUGCCUCAUAAUAACCACAGCAAUGUUAUUAGCACAGGUCAAACAGACACUUCGGUCUUUUUGUGUGUGCGCAAAAAGUAUUUGAAAUGAAGCAAUCCAUUUUAGCGUUUACACCAUCAGCACCCCUCUAUCCCCCCCCCCAUGGGUAGGAAAGCAAUAGCUUGUCCCCUCACAUUGAUGCUGCCAUCAACUUAAUAGCCCUCCUGCCCUUCUGUUUCCUUUAAAAAGGCCCACGGCACAAAGAGACCAUAUAGCAAUAUUGGAUAACACUGAAAGUUUGUCAUGCACUACUCUGUCUCAGCUUGCAACCACCUGCUCAGUAUUUCUCAACUACAGUACUGCACCCCCAAUAUGCUAAUGAUGGGUUUUAAUUGUAUUUGCAGUGUUACUUUUUGAAGUUUACUUACUCAGAUUUUUUAAAAUGACAAAAAGAAAGAAAGAAAAGAAAUUAAACCUCCGAUAGAAAGUACUUCUGUCUUUCUUGCUACUUUUGGGGGAAGCCAUGACUGCUUAAAGUGGUAUGAUACUACUUUAAAUGUCUAGUGCAGAUGGGGUCUUAGUGUCUGGGUCGCUCACUGGCUUAGGGACUGGUAUAGCAGCAACCACCUUGUAGCCCACUCUCACCGUCACCUAUUGAAACAAGCUAGAUAGGAACCAUUGUACGGAGUGCUGCAGGUGGCCCUUUUCUAUGUGCCUGAUGGAUAGGCUUUCACAAUUUUAUCACUGGGGUCCUAUCUUUAAAAUGGGGCCAGGAAAAUAUAACAAGCUGCUUCAUGGGAUUGCUGGAAAGAUGGAGUAAGAUACAGAUUCAAAAUACUUUCCCCACUAGUGUGAGCCAGUGUGGUGUAGUGGUUAAGAGCAGUAGUCUUCUAAUCUGGUGAACCGGGUUUGCUUCCCUGCUCCUCCACAUGCAGCUGCUGGGUGACCUUGGGCUAGUCACACUUCUUUGAAGUCUCUCAGCCCCACUCGCCUCACAGAGUGUUUGUUGUGGGGGAGGAAGGGAAAGGAGAAUGUUAGCCGCUUUGAGACUUCUUCGGGUAGUGAUAAAGCGGGAUAUCAAAUCCAAACUCUUCUUCUCUUCUUCUUCUUCUUACUAGAACUUUCAUAUAGUUAUAAUUAAUAACGGGGUGUGCAUUUGUGAGGAAGCAAAAAUAACAGAGCAGGCUUGGGUUGAAAAUCAUGACAGUAGACCACACAGAUACAAUUUGGAGGGUUUGCUAGCUCCUGACAAUGCACAUCAUUAUACUCAGAAUUUUGGGGAUUCCCAGGGGAGCCAUCUGUAUUCAGAUGACAUCACAGGGAGGGGGGGAAAGGAAAGAACUGAUUGCUCUAUGGCUGAUCUUUUAUUUUCAUAUAUCAGGUGUCACCUGUGAUUUCACAUCUCACAGGGGAAGACAGAAUUCAUCUGUCAUCUGCUGUUAACUGUAGUGUGUUUUUUUCCACUUAAAAGAAAGAGGCACUUGCAUUGGUUAAGCCCACAGACCUCAAAAUUUGUGGAAUUUGGUAGAAAAUAGGAUAAACUAUUUCAACCAAAUUGAAAGGUAGCUGAGCAAGAUCACUGCAGUAUUUCAUUUAGGGAGAUUGGGAAGCAUCUCUAAGUACUGUGCUAGGCUGCUAGCUACUACAGUAGGAAAAGGCAAGUGGUGGCUUGGAGGCCCUACUCCACACACACCCUGACUUACCAUAGGUCCCUCAGCAUAACUCCUAAUACCAAUACUCUUAAUGCCAGUACUAAUUCCCAUGUUAUGCAUUUCUAACCUUCUGUAUGAAUUGGUACAUGGAUUUGCUUAUUUUCCUCUUUCUGCCCCAUUGCCUUUUCUUUUUGUGACAGUUCAGAACUAUGAAAUUGAAUGCCAUUAUCUUAAAUAGUAAACUGUGCAUUGGCAGAAAGGCUAUUAAAUAAAUGUAGUGAGUGAGUGAGUGAGCGAGCGAGCGAACAAACAAACAAACAUUUCAUUUAUAUCCCACUUUUUCUUUCCGGAGCUCAAGGUGGUGUACAUGAUUCUCCCCUUCCUCAUUUAACCCCCACCACAACCCUGUGAGAUAGGUUAGGCUGAGAAGCAGCGACUGGCCCAAGGUCACCUGGUGAGCUUCAUGGCUGAGUGGCCAGGACUUAGUCCAACGCUCUAACCACUACACCACAAGCAGCUGUCCAGGAUUUCAGAAUUCCUUCCAAGUGAAGAUGUCAGGGACUUUUUUCAUGCAUAAGAUGUGUUCAGCCACUUAACUGUGGCUCAGUCAUUGCUAUAUAUAAAGCUAGUGAAAUAGUGAAUAUGCCAAAUGACAUGUCUGUGCAGACUACCUGGGCUGAUUUCAUGCCCUAGUAGUGUGCCAUUUGUGUAAUCUUGCCAAGUGCUAAGGAUGAAAAUCCCAGAGUGUAUGAUGUUGCAAAUUUAGUAAAACUAAGAAGAUAUGGGUCUGUCUAGUACUUGGAUGGAUAGGAGACUGCAUGGGAAUGCUGUGUAGCAGGCCUUGAGUUCCACCAUGGAAGAAAGGUGAGGUAUAAAUGAAUUCAGCAAAAUGGCUGCCUGAGUUUCUAUCCUGCUGCAAAUGAGAAUUCAUUCAUGAGCAGCCAUGGGUCUUUACAAUGUUUUAGUGUUGCUUGUAGCUUAGUGGCAUUGCACAAGUUUGCAAGUUCGAAGUGCCAGGUUUUCUGCAUCUGAGAAGGAUUAUAGCUAAAUUUAUAUGCUACUUUAAACUCAAAGUUUGCAUGAUGUUCCUCUUUUUAAAACUUCACAUAGAACAUUGGGGGAGGGUGGGGGUUCAGUCCUGAUGAAAAUCUUCCCAAUAUGGCUUUUGGCACAGGAAGGAAGUUCCCACUGUUGUCAAGGUGGCAGGUUUCCUCUCAUGCCACAUAAUAUCAGCUUUGGGAGGGUUGUUUCAGGGACUGGACUUUCAAUGACUGCAGACGUAUCAAAUCCCAAAUCAAAUCCCAAAUUACAGAUCACUGUUUGGCUCAGUGAAUGACAAGUUGCAUAGUCCUUUAUUAUGGUUAGUUCAGCUGCUGUGGAAGUUGGUGGCAGCAGUGAACUGGUGUAGACAAAACACUGUCCAUCCCUUAGUUAUGGUUAGGUGGCUUGGUUUGGGAUUUAAGCAUUGCACAUUCCCUAUCUUCCCUUGAGAAAAUUGCCAUCUUCCUCGUCUACAGCCUGAACCUUGGUUAGUUGUUAUGCCUUUCCCAUACUUAAUGCUAACCAGGGUUUGCUCCAGAUUGAAAAGCAGGUUUGGAAGCUGAUUAAAAAUGCUGGUUAGGAGAUUUGAUUUGAUUACCAUUGUAUAAUUAUAUCAUUGUAUAAUUACAGUGAUCAUGGGUUCAAUAUAGGAGGACUAUCCAGAAACAAUCUUGAUCUCCUAACCAUAGUUAAGGUGACACUUACAAAGCUCCAAAUUGGGCAGUAGUAGGCAGGUGCACAGAUGGUGAUAACCUUUCAUGUGUCUUUCUUCCAGGAGUGGCUCACCCAGAGGGACAGAGCUGUGGCAAUAUCCUCCUGGCAACCUUGCUGAUGGUUACCAAGAGGGAAAUGGGAAAGGCAGUUGUAAAAUCAGGCCAGUGCAGGUGCACCAGUGUAGCCAGUCCUGUGCCUAUGCAGCCCUGAUUUGAUCGCUGCCUGCCCGUCCCACAAAAGCAGCAGCAACACCAUUGCUGGAAGGCUGUUCCUGCACUUCUGUCCCAAUGGGUGAGCCACUCCUGCUUUCUGCCAUCCCCCUUUCUCUCUCUUUCCAUUCAGCUUUCCCCUCUUUUCCAGCCACAUCAAAUUAGGCCAAGGGUUGCAUGCUGCCCUGGGGGACGUAGGCUGCCCACCCCCAUAUUUGCCCAUGCAAAUAUGCCUGUACUUCUUAAUUAACCAGGUUUAAAAAAACCUGAGCACAUGCAUUCAUCUUCAAUAGGCUACACAACCAAGAAAACUUUAAAAACUUUGUUGAUCAGCAAUGCAAAUUCUCAUUCGCCCCUGCUUUUUUAAUUAACUUUUUAAUUUUCAAACACAAAGAUAGUGUUGAUGAUGACUGGUAAGCUUGGGCUGGAAGAUGUACUGAUCUAAUGCUGUUCUUUGGAAAUCUGCAGAGAAAUGAAUCUCAGGGAACAAAUGAAAUGAUAAUGGGAUUUCAGUUCAUCAGGGUUCAAUUCUGCAAAAUAAAUGUUCAGUUUCACAGAUUGUUUGUUGAGAAAAAGGUGUCUUUUGCUGUAAUGAACAAAACUGAUUGAAGACUUAGACAGCAGUUGGAAGUAUUAUUAUUAUUAUUAUUAUUAUUAUUAUUAUUAUUCCACCAAGGCUUCAUACAUUAUGUGGCUUGCUAAGAAAAGAUCUGCUGAUGGUCAUGAACUCACCUGCCCAGCUAUGUUGACCAGAUGCACAGAAUGACAGGGAUCUUUUGCCUUUAAUAGUUGUGCAGAAGAGGGAAUUACAGCAGAUGCCUCUUUUUCACCUAUGCACGAUAAACUCAAGUUCUUUUUCUUAACACAUCUUGACUCAUGAUGGGAUGCAGAGGCAGUGGCAUCAUCCCAGCAGUGGCGCUGCACCCACUGGGAUGGGGGUGAGGUGGUGUUGUGAGUGAUCAGGGGAGCUCUGGGUCAGCAAUGGCCCUGCAAGUGCACAUAAAAAGCUGGAGCUACCUUGACCUCACCACAGGUGCCUCACCCCAAUCCAGAAGUGUGCUGCUAGUGAAAGGAUGGCGUUGCUACACACACACACACACACACACACACACACACACAGAGUGGUACCUCAGGUUACAGAUGCUUCGGGUUACAGAUGCUUCAGGUUACAGACUCUGCUAUAGUACCAGAAAUAGUACCUCGGGUUAAGAACUUUGCUUCAGGAUGAGAACAGAAAUCGUGUGGCGGCGGCAGAGGGAGGCCCCAUUAGCUAAAGUGGUACCUCAGGUUAAGAACAGUUUCAGGUUUAAAACGGACCUCCAGAACGAAUUAAGUUCUUAACCCGAGGUACCACUGUACCUUGGUCUGAGCCAGCAGAAUUAUUCUUAAAUUACUGACUACAACUCCUAUCACCCCCCAAGAGGGUUUUGCAGGCCAAGCACACAGUAUGUGGAUCGGGGGCUCUGAAGCACUUGCAAUGGAAGAAACAAAUUUGCCUACACUUUAUGUCAUGCACAAAUGUGUGCCUUCUCUGUGAAGCUUCUUUCAUAUUUGUUUUCCAUUCUGGACAAAGGCUUGCCACACAGCUGUUAAAGGAGCCUGCUGUCCCCACACCAUCCUUAAACCAUACAAAGAAUUCGAAUUUCACAAGUUGCAAAGCAGUUAUUACUGUAGGUAUUUCAUCCAUUGACACUAGGUUGGCAAUACUGACAGCUGUGAUUCUUGAGCCUGUUUAGGUUCUAACUGCUGCUGGACAAUUUCCUGCUCUCCCUUCUUAUGGUUUGUUUGAUUCUUUAUUUAUUGCAAUUAUAUUCAAACUCAAGGGGCUCGUGGUGGUGUAUAUAGAUUGUUUUCCCCUCUCUCCAUUUUGUCCUUGCAGCAACCCUGUGAGGUAGGUUAGGCUGAGAGAAUGUGAUUAGUCCAAGAUUGACCAGCCAGCAUUAUGACUGAGUGGUGUUUUGAAGCUUGAUACCUUCAGAUAGAGCACUGUCCUCUGUAAAGUAGAACACGUGGCCACCCUUACCGCACGGGGCCUAGACACUUGACUUAGCCAUCUCUACUAUUUCCCAUCUAGCUUCCUCUUCCAGUCUGUCUUUUCUCUUCUUUUGCCACUUGUGUCAUGUACUCUGUUCUAGUAUUUGGGGGCUCAGCAAAGGGAGGGCAGUGUCCCCGGAAUCCCCACAUGCUUACACCUCACCCUCUUCACUGAUGGAGAAGACUUACCAUAAAUAAUUGGUUCAUUUCCCAGUAAUCAAUAGCCCUAUUGAAUAGCUAACAUAUGUAUUGUUUGCUAGCCAACCUGCAAACCCCAGGGGUGGACAUGGGGAUAACGGGUGGCUCUCCAGAGGCUCUUGAGCUAUAACGCCCAUCUUCUCAGUCCAUUGGCAAUAUUGGAUUGAGCCGCUGGGACCUGGAGCCUCCACAAUAACUCAAUAACUGAAGAACCUCAGGUUCCCACCUCUGCCAUAGUCCUUUCUGAGGCAUAAUGGGCCAGUUGUAUUUUCUCAGUUACCGAAUCUAGUUCCUCCUCAUUCACUCCACAUUUUUCUUUUUAUUUUGAGCAAUGCACAGUGUCCACACAGAAUGACACUGGAAAUAUUUUGCAGGGUGUAGCAGGAACAUGUGAAAUGCAGAAAUCAGACCAAAACAAAGAAUGUACAAAUAUACAGAGAUAAGGAAAGUAAACUAGCAGUGGUUACAUUUUCUCUGCUAGACAUAAUUGAUAUGUUUGCCUGUGAUUCACACAUUAUUUUAGGUUUCUGAGGGGGAGGGAGGAAUUUUUAUUGCAAAAUAUUCUGCAUUUAAAAUACUAUUUAAUUAUAGUUUGUUUCCUUAGGGAUUUUAUCACCAUGUGAUUUAAUUUGGUAUAGGCCCUAAGGGGCAGCAUAUUUUCAAUUAUGGAAUAUUUCCUCCAGAAACAAUAAUGGUUCAAUGAUUUAUUGCAGGAUCCUAUUAUAAGGUGGCUCUUGCAAGUGAAACUUGAAUGCAAUUGGCUUAACAAUAUAGCAUAGACAGCACUAAAAUGCACACGAGCAGAACGCAUGCUUUCUGCACACAAGGAAAAAAAAUAUUCGUAUAAUACUUUUGCAUAAUACUUCAAUUAUUAUAUCGGUUUUUUAAAAAGGGGGGGAGUUGGAAAGCUGAGAGCUAUGAAACAUUUACAUUAUUAUCUCUUCAAAAAGUUCAUUUUUGGACAAGUAUCAUUUGGAUAGGGAUUAACUUAAUCAGAGAUUUUGAAUCUUCUUUACUUUAAUUUCUAAUCUCUUUUUUUAAAAUAUAUAUAUAUAUAUAUGUCUGAAUCUUAAAAAGGCCUAAACCUGUAGUCACAAAGCACUGCUUCAAAAAAAGGAGAGGAGGGGGGAGAGGGAAAAAAGAAAGUUUUAAAAGCAACCACCAGCUGUAAGAGAGAUAGUGAAAGCAGCAGAUUUGUGACAGAGCAGAGCAUGAAACCCAUCAGCUGAUGAGUGAAAAUCCCUGGUUUCUAAUUAAUCGAGGUACACAGGCCAAGGGAUGAAGAGGAUCAGGGAAAUGAAAUCAGGAAAAAGAUACCAUCAGUCAUUUCUGCGGCCCAUUGUCAUACUUCAGAAUCUGCUGUAAUGAAUCACUCAGGCAUUCCAGAGAUACAUUCAAAUGGUGAAGAAAAUUCAUUGUCCGGUGAAGAGUGUUUGAUAAAAAUCUCUCUCCCCCCCUCUUUGUCAGAAGCCUAUGAUCAGGAAAAGAAGGGCGGGGGGGAGAGAAAGGAAAUCCAGACAGCACAACAGGUGUGCUUCAGCAAGCCUGCUGAAAUCUGCAAAUGAACGGAGAUACUAAAGAAUGUUUUUGUACUAAAAUUUCACCAAAAUGGAGAAAAAAGAGUAUCUUGUAAUAACAGGCAGCAGGAGAAGGAGGGGAUGGGGGAACACCAGGGAGCGGAUGGGGAGGAUACACUGAGGAUUAAGUGGGCUGAAAAGAUACAACUUUUAUUCCUGUUCGGGGAAAUUUUGUCUGUAUUAAAAAAAAUAUUACGGGGGGGGGGGAGAGAGAGAAUGGAGUAAAUAUAUAGAGUUUAACAUUUGCAGUUGCCUUAAAAAAAAGACAACCCAUUUCUAAAUAAAAGGCAUUUUAGUGUCAGCCUCAGAGCUUUGGUGUUUCUUUUUCAGAAUGUCCCUCAAAGCUUUGUGGUAAAUUUUCUUCUGCACACAGAGAUUUAAAGGAUGAGCCCCUCUUCCAGAAUGUUCUUUUUAGCCCCUGUAUGCAUUGGGAUCCCAGAAAUAAGAACUUCAUUGCAAAGUGGGGAAAAGCUAAGGAAUUCCUGUGAUUACACACACACACACACACACACACACAAACACACAUUACACAUGCAGCCUAUUAUUUCACAGCUUGCUCUGAAUGUACAUUUCACCUAUGGUUCAACUUUUUGUCCGUGAACAAUUCCUUUAGGCAGUUCAAAGUAGCCUGCACCAUUAGGUGACAUCGGAAGAUAAUUGUUUUUAAAUAAUCAGGUACUGUACUGAGACAUAUAAGGAUAGCUGAUUCAUUUUAAAUUUAAUUACCAUAAUAUAGGGUUUCACUGUCUGCAGUAUCAAUCACUAAGACACUUUAUAGUUGAUAAUAUUAAAAUGGCAACAAUAAUGAGAAUUUCUACUUCAUGAUGAAAAUAAUUUUAAUCACGGGUAGAUUACAAAUCCAUUUGCUGUUACGGUUACUGAGGAUUCUAUUAUCUGCCUUCUAUUGUGAAAGAUGUUAAAACUUGUUUUCAGGAAAUGUAAAAGAUUAUAGAUGUAUACAGCUUGUGCAAAUUUUCCAACCAAGCUCAAAUGACAGACAGAGGAGUGGUUUGAAUUCUGCAGCUAGAGGAUGCAAAGCUGUUGAUACCAGUUUCAUGAUUCCCUCUAAACCUGACUAAAAUUGCCUGUCUUUGGGGGCUCGGUAUAUUCCUCCCUUAAGGGGGAAUACACAGUUAACAAGAGAGGAACACAUCUCCCCUAUUUUGUAUGCUGAAGUCCUCAUUCCUCCCAAACAGUGCAAAUACAGAGCCUCUCAAGUUUGCCAGAGGGGGCACUCUUGAUGGUGCCACCACCCUCAGAGGUUUUUUGGGGGUGGCAGCCUGGGAAAGGGCAUUCUCUGUGGCAGCCCCUAGGUUAUGGAAUUUUCUCUCCACAGAGGUGUAUCUGUCACCUUCACUGCAUGUAUUUCGUCAUAUGCUGAAGACUGACCUCUUUGCCCUGGCCUUCGACACUAGAGACAUAUAUGGUUAGGGCCCAACCUGUUAUUCUGACUGUAAAUUGGUUUAACUGUCUCUCACUCACCCUAAGAUCUUAUUGUGAAGGCAAGUAAGAAUUAUUAUCUUUAUCGUUAUCGUUAUACAACAAUAACAGCCAGUCAAACUCUUCCUCCCCAUAAUAAUUCUUGAUUCUUUCCAUGAUUGAGCUAUCAUGAAGAACUUAAUGUCUGACACAGAAUAGCUCAGGUAUGGGAAACUGGUGCCCCUCCAGAUAUUGGACUCCAACUCCUAUCAGCCAGCAUGGCUAAUGAUCCAGGAUAAUGAAAGUGUAGUCCAAAAACAUCUGGAAGGCCCUGAUAUCUAUAUCUCAUAGAUUCAACUACCAUAGGUACAACUACUAAGAAGUAGGGUGUAACAUUUAUUCUCACAAUCGCUACUCAUUUAAUUGUUGGUGUCAGACACAGAGCAAAAGUUAAUGCUUCUAGUUUCUAGGACUUCAGAGACAGCUACUGAAGGUGGGGCACUGAGGGAAAAGAGGAGAAUGAUGACGCAGUGAAAAAUUGCACCAAAGUUUGCUGUUGGUACAGAUAUAUGAGCAGGAACGAAUCUCUCACAUUCCUCCAAAAAUUCAUAUAUUUGGUUGCAGAUAUAUAGUUCCACGAUGUCUUUCCACUAGAACAUGGUUUCUCUAACUUUGCACAACAAACCUUCCCAAAUAAAGGGGGUAGGUGGGAAUCUUCCCCUAAGUUAGAAGAAAAAUGGCAGCAUAGCUGGUUGCUCCCAUCCUACAUUUAGGAACUGACAAAUAAAAACAAACAAUAAAAAUGUAGCAGCAGGGUGAUAGAGGGCCCCCCCUUCAAUUCCCAGUAUUAUCCAUCAAGUCAACAUCACACUCCCUGCAAGACAUACAGCAGCCAUAUUUCCCACCCAGUAGCCCUAUCAAAAACAGAAAAGAACUGGGCCUCUGGCUAUCCUAAGGUUGGCCAACUUAGGGAAGACCAUUGACACUUCUGACACACCUAACAAUGGCAUAUGACUCCAAUAGCAGCUGUACAGUGCUCCAGUGGUGUAAACAUGAUCAAGUCUAAAGUAAGUUAACCUGGGAUUUCUGGGCGAAACAGGAGAUGUGUGAUAAAGCUGUCUCUGAAAAGGAAUGGGGUUGUUUUGUUUGGGACUAAAACACAAACAGUAAUAGGACAAACCAUUUAUAUUUUUGUAAAUGUUGUGUGUGAGGGCUUUUGUUUCUCUUUCUAUCCUCUGUAUUCUCUUCCUUUAUUUUUACAGUAAUAACUUUUUUACUUUGUUCAGUAUAUAGUGAUUUGUUGUGUGUGUGUCUGUGUUUUAAAUCAAAUCAAAUGAUCAAACCCACAUGGAAUAUACUGUAGAUAGAAUUUAGUGAUUAGGAUACUACUGCUAAGGUGGCAUUUAGCAGAGUUAGCUUUUAGUUCUGGGUUUGCCAAACAUUAUGUUUACAAUUAUGUCCCUUUUUAAAAUUUAAAAAACUCCUUCUGUUAAAAAACAAAAGGUGGUCCUAUAUACCAGAAAAGAGGCAGCAGUCUCACAAGUGUCCUGAUUUUUUAUGUUUAAAUUGAGCACUCUGAAUCUAGAGGAAACGCCUUAAGCGAACUGUCACUGUUAAUCAGAUCUGUUCUAUGUAUAUGCUGAUAUCUCUGAUGAAGAGUAAUAGCUUUAACAUGCUUGAUUAUUUCAUUGAGUUGGAUAAUAUUUAAGAUUUCAAUCUUGGUUGGGUCUCUAAGAUGGCUCUAUCAUUUUAACACCAAUAAGUAUAGAUUGGUAAUCAAACACGUUGACAGAGUCGCUCGCGACUGGACUUAACUGUCAGAGGUUCUUUACCUUUUACUAGAUUGUCUAUAGUCUCUGUAGUAUCUAUUCAUGUGAGCAAUAUAAUAUCAGAGAAGACUCACUAAAACAGGGAUAGCCAACAUGGUGCCCUCCAGAUGUUGGACUGCAGCUCCCAUCGUCUUGGGCUAAUGGGAGCUGUAGUUCAACAAUAUCUGGAGGGCAACAAAUGUGAGCAGUUAAUUGUUGAGGAUCGGUAUCUGCACUGGGUUUAAAUAACCUUAAUAAAUGCCAACACUCUUUUAACAGUGGCUCAGCUGAUCAGUGGUAGAUUAUGAAAAGGGUCUUUCAUUUUUUAGGUGUCAGUCAAGGCAAUUUAUUUCAAACCAACUUCAACUUUUCAUAAACACAAAGCACAGUACCUCUGCUACACACCUUUACAAUAAAUGGCUUGAAUGAGAAGGCAUUGAUAUACAGAAUAUUAUAUUGAUUGAUUGAUAUUAUAUUGAUAUAUUGAUAUAUACAGAAUAUUAUAUUGAUAUAUUGGUAUAUCUAUUGAUAUACAGAAUAUUAUAUUAUUUCUUGGUUGCUAUUGCAUGGGAAUCAUCUAAGACAUGCAAUAACCAAAUGUUUUGGAUAAAUGGGAGUGUGACUUAGGUGCAAAGAGGGAAAGAUGACGACUUCACAGGAUAAUUAAUAUUGGAGACCUGAAUUUUAGACACUUGGCUUUUAAUUUUCCAGGAAUUUCACUGAGCGUAGAAGGCUCAAGAUUGCUUAUCACAGAAGUGUUAUCAUUAGGGUAGCUAAGGGCCAAAUGACACAAGUUGUGAUGAAUGAUGAUUGGAUCUCCCAGCAUUUCUAUUUGGGUUUUAAGAGCACACAAGUAGCUCUGAUGUUGACAGUUUAACCCUUUCACCAGUAGUAGCUGGUGCCCAUUGGGACUGGGAGGGCAGAAGGCAGGGAGAUGGGAAAAAAAGUGGAGCCAGAACCAAUGACAGAAGGACAGAACUAAUUCUAGUUUUCCUCCCUGCCUAGUUCUACAAGGGCUAAGGAGACUAAGGAGGAGGAGGAUGACAGGCAUUGGUUGUAAGUAAGAAGGCAGGGAGGGAGACUAGCUGAAGGCAGACUGAGGGGGUGGGCAGUGCCUCAUUCACCCUAAUGAACUAUCCUUCACUGUAAAUUUUACAGAUACACACACACAAGUUUCUAUUUAUUGCAUUGAGGAAACAGAGAUUCUAGUCCCCCCCCCCCCAACUGCGUAGAAAUAGCAGUUUCAGGGAGGAAAAAGAUAUGAAAAACAACUUCGGAAGAAUGGGUUUUAAAAAACUCUCCCUCAUUUCUGCAGUUCUGAUCAAAAUCAAACAAGACCUUCUGGGUUAUUCCUUUUAAAGGGCUUCAAUAUUGCAUAUAGGGAUAGGCACCCAUUCUUUAUUGUACUAAAAUACACAUUUUGAAACAUUUCCAGAAUGAUGGGAGAGGAGUGUGCUGCUCCACAGGCAAAUCGAUCAAGAUGCAGCUUCACUGCUGCACUGGUGGCCAUGUUAUGGUAGCUUGUUUCAGAUUUUGGAUUACACAAAUUAAAAUACCACAAGGUGUGGCAGAAGGCAGAACACACAUGCAAAGGGUGUGUGUGUGAACUUGUCUGUAGUAGGCAAUGACAGCUAUAAAGCACCACCUCCAAGUGUCUGAAAAGCUACUGUCCAUACAGACUUAUAGUUGUUCAAAGGGUGGAUAUUUUUUCCCCUACUCUUUCAGUGCAUGUUUACAUAUGACACUCUGAUUCCAAACAACAUUAAUGAUGGUGUGUGCAGAACUGGACAGUGAGAGUGGCUAGUCCAGAUGAAUUAAUGUGGCAAAAAAAAGAAAAAAGUGCUGAAACUCUAAGUUCCACUGGGAUUUAUAGGUUAGUUGUGAGUUUUCAUGAAGCCCAGAAGAAGAGGACCUCAUCUACCUCACACUGUCAUUUUUUGAUGCCCUCUGCUGUUAAGCCUUAUUUAAUUAUUCCCCAUGGGAUUUGCUGAGCUAAUGCUGUCCUGAUGAAGGGCCCUAUAGCGUAUUAUAGUGUCUCGAUUUUUACCUCUGGGAGUUCUAAAACAACCAGGGUCCAGUACAGCCCCAGGAUGCUCAUCUUGAUAUCGCUCAGCCUCUGGAUCUCUCCAGGACCAUGUAUUACUUAUCAGGAUUAUGCACAUAGUGGUCCAAGUUGGUACUCAAAGAUUGCCCAGCCUGCCUGACCAAACCUGUCAAUGGGGCAAGAUGAAUAUCUAAUUAUGGGGUAAUAAGUUAUCUUGUGAUUUACCUAAAGGGGACUACAGCAAGUCAUCCAUCUUGAAAAAGCAGGUUGUUGUGGGUAUAUGUGGAAAAGUGAAAUCUCACGAGUCUUUUAAACAAUGGAUACGUGGUUAGAAUUUGCAGAGAACAUGGUGGGGUUUUUGGUUUAUUUAUUUUAUUAACGUACUUAGCUCCCCCCCCCCCAAAGACUUCAUAUACUCAGCAGGAUAGUUUAGCUUUGUUUACUUAGCAGGAACAUUGCACUUCCAAACGAUUUUCUGCUGCAAACCACUUUCAAAGCUUCCAGUGCAGUUUAUUCAGCAAUCUUCUUUGAACACAUCUACCUGUGUACACCAAAGAUAUUCCUUGGCCUUAUUCUUUCCCUCCUUAGCUCCACCUCCCACCCUGAAUGGUCCAGUCUACAAAACAUUUGUUCUAAGGAUGGGAAGGUUUUGGAAUUUGAACGUCUGUUGGCAUCUGGGGCUGCCCUCCCCAUGCUUUGACUGCUAUUAAUAUCAAUGCCUGCAGAAGGAAUGUGUGUAUAUAUAUAUAUAUAUAUAUAUAUAUAUAUAUUCCGAGUGUGCGAAUAGCACCCCACAGUGGUUCCUGUGUAUGGAAGAAUCUACACAGACUGAUUGCCUACCCCUCUGAUUGCAUAUCCUGUGUUGCUUCCAGAUUCAUUCUCUCCCUUAUGUUUCUUUUGCUCCCCAGUGAAAGCAGUGAGACGUGACCCAAGAUUUCAGAAAGCCACAGUACGUUCUUAGGGGGCAGCUACAAGAUAAAAUGGUGUGGAAGGAGGAAUUAAAAACAGCAAAAUGCAUUCUGAUCAUCAAGCAUCAUCAUAUAAGG
RNAcentral lists this long non-coding RNA (66177 nucleotides) under Podarcis lilfordi (Lilford's wall lizard). The record is from RNAcentral. Lineage: Eukaryota; Metazoa; Chordata; Lepidosauria; Squamata; Lacertidae.